CCGCACCACCACCCCUCCCUCCUUCCCGCCCUUCCUCUCCCUGCACGCCCCCUGACAGUUCCUGGCCGGCGCCCGCGACGCCGUCACGGGGCUGGCCAAGCGCGUCACCGGCACCACCACUACCACCACACAGCCAGCGGGCGAGCACCACCAGCAGCACCACCAAGGGCACCAGGGGCAGCAGCAGCAGCAGCAAGGGCUGCAGGCACUGCUGCCCAAGUCGCCCAUCGGCGGCGGCGGUGUCGGUGGCGGCGGCGGCCCGGUGAUGGGUCUGGCUCCCGAGGUGCGCUACCGCCUGUCGGACUUCCCAGAGGGCCGGGCGCUGGUGGCGCUGGAGAGGUGCGCGCGGGCGGCGGCGGCGGGGGGCUGCGGGAGAAAGACUGUGGCGACCCAGCAGCGCGUGUGUAGGCGUGCGUAUGCGUGUGCAUCUGUGCGUGUGGUGUGCGCGUGCGCGGUCGCAGUGUCAAUGGCUUGCCAAAGGACCGUGUUUGUGAGAGGGGACACGAGGCACCCCCGCCCCUCUGCCCGCCGCCCUCCCGCCUGCAGGUGGUGUCGCGAGCCGGUGCAUCUGGGGCUGCUGUCGGAGCUGUGGGCGGCGGCGCGUGAGUACGGCCGCGGCUACGUGGCGUCGGGGGCAGCGGCGCCCUGGUGCGUGUGCGUGUGCGUGUGUGGUAUGUGUGUGCAACCUUCGCUGCAACAAGGCUGACGCGUGCGUAAGCCCGCAACGGCCACACCACGACCCAGCGCAUUGACCAGGCCACAGCGACCGCUGUCCUCGCAGCGCCCCUUGCAUCCCUCCGCCCCCCCCCCACGGCCCCCCCCUUUGUACCAAUCCUUGCAACCCCCCACCCCACCCCACUCUCCCACCUCUCCCCGCAACCCCCUCCCCGCACCACCCCCGCACCAGGCUGGCCGACAGCCUGGGACCCUGGCUGGAGUCCUUCCCCGACGCCGCGCCGCCGCUGUCGCUGGAGGCGGUGGUGGAACGCGCGGUGGCGGACGCGCAGGAAGGCUUCAGAGCCGAGGCAGCCAGCAUCAGCGCGGGUGAGCGCACAGCGUGCGUGUGCGUGUGCGUAUGUGCGUGCGUGUGUGCGUGCGUGUGUUUGUGAUUGUAUUAGAAAGCACCAGGGAAAGGUCGCUCUUGAACGGUAUGUGCAUGUACACGUACGUGUGUGAGGUUUGUUCUUGCCUUGUGCUAGCUCGUAAUGUCGGGCGGGCUGCUGUCGCCGCCGUGCGUUACAGGCGCCGGCCCCAGUAUGGAGGCGGGCGGCCCGGCGGCAGCGGGCUGGGAGGGCGGGCUGCCGCUGCGGCGCCUGGCGGCGGCCGCCGGCCCCAACCUGACCCACAUCAGCCGCCAGCUGCAGCAGCGCUACCGCCUCAGCCGCGGCCGCACAUGGUUGGAGUUCACGCAGGUGUAGCGAGCGAGCUAGCGUGGGAGCGCGUUACCCGUUGCUGGUUCUAGCUGGGUCGAUAUGUCUGCGGUUUGACCUGCCAUUGUCAGGUUGUGCUCGUCGCAACACCGCGCCACCAUCAAACCUGAGCCCUCACACUACCUCGCUGCGGGCCCUGCAUGUAGCCUGCCGCUCUGAACUCACGCCCCAUAACCCUCCCUCCCCUUCUCCCCUUCUCCACCCCCCCCCAGAUCUUCCUGGGCGCCUUCCGCACCUGGCUGCGCCUGGUGGCGUACGGCCUGUCGCUGGCGGCUGUGGCGCUGCGGCUGCUGGGCACCGGCGCCAGUGUGCUGAGCGGCGCGGUGGCCUUCACGGUGGUGUUCUCCAUCGCGCUGUCGGUGCUGUCGGCGGCGCUGCAGCUGGGCGGCGGCGCGGCGGACGGCAUCUCGGCGCUGCUCAGGUGGGUGCGUACGUGGGGGGAUAGGAGGGGGGAGGAGGGUGGGAUGGGGCAGGGGGCGGGGGGCAGGGGGCGGGGGGCAGGGGGCAGGGGGCAGGGGGCAGGGGGCAGGGGGCAGGGGGCAGGGGGCAGGGGGCAGGGGGCAGGGGGCAGGGGGCAGGGGGCAGGGGGCAGGGGGCAGGGGGCAGGGGGCAGGGGGCAGGGGGCAGGGGGGCAGCGGGCAGGGGGCAGGGCUCGGGGAGAUGGGGAGGGGGGAGGGCUGUACAGCUUCAAAAGAGGCAGGCGCCCCACAGUGUCCAGCAGGUGGAUGCUCCAGACACGCAAUCGCCCAUCGCCCAUCGCCCAUCGCCCAUCGCAUCUGCCCCGACCCCUCUCCCUCCCUCACGCAAAAACACACAUUGUUUGCGUAUACUUUUUCUUGUGCUCAUCCAUACACACACACACAUCUUCAUCAUCGCCAGGCGACUGGCCUCCAUGACCGAGAGUGUGGCGCACCGCAGCAACACGGGAUACGUGCGCCAGACGGUGGAGGGAGACCUGGUGGGUGGUGGGUGGGUGUGGGCAAUGGCGGCGGUAUGCGGCCGCGACCGCUACACAUGGCGUGCUGCUGUGUGUGCUGUUGGUGAGCUGAAGUGUUAUCUCGCGCCUCAGUCCGUACAAACGCACACGAAAGACAGACACACGCACGCACGGCGUUUGGGCGGGCCGAUUUUGCUGCCUCGUUGUUAAACACACACACACACACACACACACACACACACACACACACGCGCGCGCAUACACACACACAUACACACACACGCCCGCCCGCCUGCACAGGUGGGCCCCCGCAGUCUGGACCCGGCCAGCUUUGAGGAGCUGGAGGACCUGUUCGUGUGCCAACUGGCGCCGCGGCUGAGACUGCGGUGAGGGAGGGAGACGGGCUGGCGUUGGGUGCAGGCAGGUCCACGUGACUCCAGACCCGCCCCCUCACUUCGGUCACUUACAACAAUCCUCCUGCACAACUUGGCUUUGGCUGACUGUUUCCCCUGAGCCGCCCUGAGCCUCCUUGACGCCCGCCCCCCUUCAACCGCCCAGCUCGCGGCCCGACGCCGCCCGCCUGGCCGGUGACCCGCUGCUGCUGCGCUGCUACGACCUGCGGCUGGUGGACGGGGCGGGGCAGGUGCGGGGGCGGGGCGGUUGGGGGGGGGGCAGGUGUGUGUGUAUGUGCAUGUGUGUGUGUAGAUACCAGCCCAAGCUGACACCAUACUGAACCCAAUGGGGGCCGGGCGGGUGUUUGGGUGUGUUAGUGGGUGCGGUGCGUGUCUCAGCAAGGCGCGGUGCUGUGGCUGCGUCAGUGGCUGCGUCAGGAAGCUGGGGGAUGUGCGUGAGGGUGCAGCUGUGGCUGGAUGGCGGAUGCGCACGCGUCGCAGACCCGCCCUGCCGUUGUGCAUGUACGUGUGUGUGUGUGCCUCACCAGGUGAUGGUGGAGGAGGCGGAGGCGGUGGUGCCGCGGUUUGAGCCCACUGGCUUCUUCGGACUGGCGCCGCAGGCGGUGCGCAAGGUGGGUGGGUGCGCGCGAGAGAGGAGGAGGAGGGCCUCGCUCACGGGGGCCAUGUUUGAUGUAUGCGGCUGAGAGUGUGUGUGAUGCAAGCGACCCUUGCACUUUGCCUGCACUGUUACCCUCCUGACACAACUCAUUUGGCCUCCUGUGUGGCUAUCCCGGCCGCCCGCCAUCACCAUACCGAAUACAUCCUCACCACCUGCCUGCUACGUACGCGGCGCGUCGGCGCCGCCGCCCGGGCCCCACUCCCUAUGCGCGCACAGGCGGGUGCGGUGCUGCUGCUGCGGCUGCUGGCCUGGAAGCGCGUGGGGCUGUGCUGCGCCUCCGCUGAGAGCCUCAAGUACGUGUUUGUGAUGGGCGAGCGCGGCGCCGGCCGGGCCACCGCCUUCGCGCGACUGGCGCAGCUGCCGCUCGACUACAAGGUGCGUGCGUGUCAGUGUGUGUGUGUGUGUGUGUGUGUGUGUGUGUGUGUGUGUGUGUGUGUGUGUGCUGUUUAAUGUUUGCGCGUGUGUAUUUGUUUUUGUGUGUCAGCCUGUGUGUGCGCUUCUGUGUCUGUGUGUUGGUAAAGCAACAAGGGUAAGGUUGACAGGAAAAGUAGAUGAGGGAGAGUGUUUGGUCAUGUCAGGACCAAGCGAAACGAUGGGAAGGUGUGCAUGCAUGUGUACAACAUGCUAGCUGGCGCCCCUUGCCCUUACAGCCGUGCCCCUAUUUCCACAUUUACGCUCCCCAUCUCCCGUUCUCCCCUUUCCUCCUGUCCCCCAUUUCCCCAUGCUAGACUCCCCCUCCAAACCCCAACCACCCAUCACACCACACCACUACUCCCGCACGCCCCCACCCACCCCCCCCCCCGCCCCGCAGGUGCCUCCCUCCGUGCCCGCCGAGAUCCGGCCCAUCCAGCGCCUGCCCGGCGCCUUCGCGGUGCUGCCCGCCGGCCUGGACGCCGACCCCGCCGCCUGCCCCGCAGUGCUGGCGCGGGCGCAGCACUUCGCGGACCUGUCGCACGGUGCGUGUUGAUGUUUGCGCUUGUGCAUGUGCGUGUGUGUGGAUAGGUGCGCAGCUUUGUUCCAUUACUGGGUAUGUGCGGGGGGGUUGUAGAUACCAGCCCAUACUAAACCAAACCCAAUGCAAUAGAGCGAGGAGGAGAGCGUGGGCGAUGCUUGACAACGGGGGUAUUUGAAGCCCCCCUGCUUCCCCCAGCUUCUCAAUCUGUGCCUGCUGCCCCCGCCCGCCCGCCCGCCCGCCCCGCAUGCAGGCGUGUUCUCGGUGCUGGUGUACCUGGUGGGCGUGGACAGCGCGCCCUCGCCCGAGGCGCUUGGGCCGGCGGUGUGGCAGGCGCUGGCGGCGCGGCGGCCGCUGCUGCUGCUGGUGAACAAGGGCAUCAAGCUCACGGAGGCGCUGAGGGUGAGAGUGGGGUGAGCGAGGUAGCAGGGGGCGGGCGGGGCGGCGGGCGUGGACAGGGUGGGUGAUGAGCGGGCGGGCAUGCUGGUUGCGCUGUAGUGUCUGACAGCCUCUGGGUGUAGAGCGGGCCAGGACGCUGGCCACCGGUACCCUGAUGGUGCAUCUGCCUUGCUGUCCACAACCUUAUGUUCUUAAUGUGCCGGUGUCCUGUAGCGGUGCACAACAUGUUGAAUGGUGAUUACGACUAUCGCUAGCCGGAAGUAGGGGCGGCUGACAGUCAGACUGUUUCGCACAUUACAUAGUACCACACUACUUAACUAUAACGGGUAGCUCUCUGGCUUAUACCCUCGCAUGGGUUCCGGGUUAAGUCCUUGCAUGGUGUAUCGCACACACACUCUCGGAACUCCCCUACGUUCUCCCUUAUGGAUAGUUCUGACCGAUAUCUCAACACUCCCCCGCGGGCAGAACUCCAUACUCAAAUUACGUAUCGCAAUAGACUCAUACCUCAAAUCACGUGCUACAAACAAUCCCUGCAUACCUCUGUACGCUUGCCGCUUGUAGUCACUGUGCUACUGCAAUCGUCCCAUGUUCUCGUGUCCUCAAGAUCACGUCUUUCUCUUUCUCACUGCAUCGUCCAUAAUCAGCACAAAUCAAUACGGUCUUCUACCGCAAUCAAUUUCAUCCGGAAAUCCAUACUCAAUCAUAUCUGCACGGCUCCCCCGUGUCCGAAUGCUCCCGCAUUCACUGUACUUACGGCUUCACUUCACCGUACCUGCGGUUUCACACACCGCAUCAUGCCGCACUACCGGCAUCAUAGCUUCAAGUGCUAGAGAGCCAUACACAUAAGAUGAUCUUUUAACAUCAUAUGAUAAGAGCAUAACAGCAACUCUCUACCGCUGGCUUCACUUGCCAUGUUCGUUCAUCUGACUUCACUUGCCAGUCGUGGAUCCUUGCCAGUCCGUGACUUCACUCGCCACAUGUGACUUCACUCGCCACAUAGCAAACCACUCUCAGUGCACUUCACUCGUGCAAACAGUAGCAAAGCUUCACUCGCAUUUGCUCACACAAUCUCAGGUGCUUCACUCACACCCCGUGCUUCACUUGCACGUCUCAUACUGGUGCUUCACUCACACCGCGUGUCAUACUCGCACGCAUAUCGUACUCACGAUGCCUUCCUUGCACCGACAUACUCACGAUGCUUUACUCGCACCGACAGCCCAACGUGGCCGUUCACAUCACAUCGGAGCUAGCAUCAUAGUCUAUGCUCCACAUCAUAUCUUCUGCUCCUACGAACGCUACUAGGCGCGGACCCCCCGGCCGCGCCCCCGGCCGUUUCCCUGGUCCAGGUUCACCGCCCACAUGCGCCGGUCACCGCCGUCCCGGCCUACGUGUGCACCGCGCGCCUGGUUGCCACCGCCGCCCUCAGCGGCCUGCUCCGGGCACUCCCACUGGAAAUGUCCCCAGCCCUGGCACCUCCGGCACUGGAUGUUCUCCUUGUUGCGCACAACGCCACCCUCCUAGCUCGGACCUCCACCAACUCUCCGUAGUGGAAUGGUCACGCAUGCUGAGGAUAAGGCUUGCUUCCUCGCCAUCCCGCGAGUACGCAUUCGACUGCUUCCUUCCUCGCCAUCCCGCGAGUACGAGUCCUUAGCAGCUUAUCACCGGUCGUUCUCCAAAGUGAGCGACCGAUAAACUCCAGACGCGAUGCUGUCCGCAAAUUCCGGCCUCCUCGGCCGGUCGCGCUGACUUUGCCUACAUUAUCCCGAGCCUAGUUGAGCAGCUCAAGGGAUCUUGCGAGCAUUUGCUGCGCCGCCUACUGGGCAGCCGCUUUCCUCGCUCAUUGCGCUCAAUGGCCUACAGCCUAUCGGUUAUCUUGUCUUUACUCGACAAAGCGCAACCCGCCGCAACUACGCGGGGCUCAUAACCUGUUGAAUGGUGAUUACGACUAUCGCUAGCCGGAAGUAGGGGCGGCUGACAGUCAGACUGUUUCGCACAUUACAUAGUACCACACUACUUAACUAUAACGGGUAGCUCUCUGGCUUAUACCCUCGCAUGGGUUCCGGGUUAAGUCCUUGCAUGGUGUAUCGCACACACACUCUCGGAACUCCCCUACGUUCUCCCUUAUGGAUAGUUCUGACCGAUAUCUCAACACAACACCCCUCCCCUUCCCGACCCGCCCCUCGCAGUCCGAGCCGCGCGCGGUGGAGUCUCGGCAGGCGGGCUGGACUGCCGCGCUGCAGGAGGGCGCGGCGCGGCGCGGUCUGGAGGCCGACCUGGCGGCGGUGCUGGUCAGCGAGCUGCGGGACACAGGCCACACGCCGGCGGGGGUGGCGGGGCCGCAGCAGGUGCGCGACUGGCUGGCGGCGGCGCUGGAGGGCGCCACGACGCGCUAGAGCGGGGGGGGGGGGCAGGGAGGCAGAUUGGGGAGGGGUUAGUUGGCACGGGGUUUGGGCAGGGGGCGUGUAAGUGUGUUGCAGGUAUUGUCAGAAAGGAUCCGGGUGUGUACGGUGCGCAAGGAUGGUGGGAGAUGGUGGUGGCGGCGGUGGGUGAUGACGGGGGAUGUGCAGGAUGGAGCAACUGGCACAUGCUGUGCUUGAGAGGUGUUGAUAGUUGGCAGUUGAGGAACUAGCGCCGAGUCGGCUCGUGUGUGCCAGGGGUCACGGCAGCGUGUAAGGAAAGAGACUCUUACGAGUUCCAUUGAUACAUUGUUGCGACCAGAUCCGCCAGUGUUGCCAUGCAUGAGUCAUCAUACAAUAUCCACCAGUUCUGCACACCGGGGCCCUUCCAACUCCUCACCCAGCCAGGCGCCAUCUGCCUGCCGCGGCGAGCUCCCACGCAAUCCUGAGGCCAGCUCGCACACAAAGCUUUGCCAGUCACCAAUCUCCAAGCACACCGUACAACCCUUGCGAAGGGCCCAGCCGCCAGCCGUGUGCCAGGAAGGGGUCUUCCCCAACCCAGCCCGCACUUCAUGCCUUACACGCCAGCCACAACCGCCUCCUUCAUCCUGCCAGCAGCGUAACGAGCUCGCGCCUCCUCUCGCCGCCUGGCCAUCUUACCCUUAGCCCUCAUGGGAUGGUGUGAACAACUAAAGCAGUCAACAAUUCUUCUCACAUGGGUCACAACCGCCUUUCCUCGUGUCCGCAGCGUGACUUGCGUGCUCUGCUCACGCGCCGUGUGCCGUUUGACCUGUUCCUUUUCCUUCGCCUACAGCACACCCCAACGUGCCCUCUCCCCAGCAACGUCGCCCCCCGCAAGCCCUCUUAUCCGAGAUCUACUCAUCAGUACUGCCCCUCUUGCCCCUCUCCAACCCCCGCCACAGUCUGCCCCACAGCCCUAGUUGGCGCCCAACCGGUUGCCGCGUCCGCCGAAGGCGCGGAAUGCGUCCAGCCCCGGCGCGGCGUGCGUGUUGACGCGCCGCCCCACGCCUGCGUCCGCCAGCAGGUUCUUGAGGAAGCGGGGCGUGGCGAGCAGGCGCGGGCCGCCGAUGGCGGGGUAGAGCACCGUGAGGUAGUAGUGCAUGUGCCCCACCACGAUGCCCAGCAGGGAGGGGUACGGGAUGGCCCCGGCCAUGAGGAACUCGAUGCCCACGAACACGAAGGGCACGUGGAAGGCCAGCACCUUGAACAGCCCGUAGAUGGACACCUGCUGUUGCGGGAACUGCCGGCUCCACACCUGGGGGUGGGACAGUGAGAAGUGAAGGUGGCAGGUGGGGUGUGUGUGUGUGUGUGUGUGUGCAAAGAUUGGUACAGAGAAGUGUAGCGAAGAAGACAGCAGGCGUCGGAGUGCGCGGGGGUGGGGUUUAGUGGGCUGGAACGGGAAGGAUGAGGCGGAGGAGAAGCAGGCCAGCAGGACGUCUGUAGCGGCUGGAUUGGCCCGUCUUCACGUCUCAGAACUCCUGCCCCACCACCCCCUCUCCCGCGUCAGAGCUCCCUCCCCUCGCUGCCAUCAGCCCUGUCCUCUGGCCGUCCUCCCUGCAGCCCUCCCUCCCUCUGAUGCUGCAGCUUGCCUGUACCUUCUCCUCUCCCUCUCUCCCUCCUCCCCCUCCCCCACUCACAUACAGCAGCAUGAAGAUGAGGGAGUCGGCCAUGAAGAACAUGGGAAUGCCCAGGCCGAACAGCAGCACCAGGCUCAGGCCCAGCAUGCAGCCGGCGCCAAACAGCAUCAUGAACAGGAAGUCGGCCGGCUCGAAGGCGAACGUCUCGCGCUCCAGCGUGGUGCCGUACGACAGCAGCCACAGGAUCUGUGCGUACGGCGCAGGAGUGCGUGUACGGCAGGUGUGUAUGUGUAUGUGUGUGGGGGUGUGGUAGUGUGAGUGCGUGUGUACGGUGUGUGGGCGUACGGUAUGUGAGCGGAAGCGGGUAGGGGAGCGGGUGCAAGGGUUGCAGCUGGGCAGGCGCACGGCUGCGUGUGCAGCUGUAGGGGUGGAUUCUUUGCGGCGCGCUGAGGGCGUGUGUGUGUGUCCACAGCCCUCAGGCGCUGUGCCGGACCGUCUGCUGUCCGCCGCCAGCUCUGUGUCCAGCCUGCGAACCGCCGCAAUUCGGGCCCACCUCCCACCCGCCCUGUCCCACGCCUGCCGCCUCGCCGCCCGCCGCGCAGUGCCGGCUGCCGGCCCCGCCCCGUUCUUGCUGACCCGCAGCCCGCGCCGCUGCCCUGAGUCGGGGCUCGCUCCCAGCCCUGCCCCCGCCCGUGCCGCGCCCCUGCCCUGCCCCGCGCGCGCCCCUGCCGCCCCACGGCGCCCCCCACCUUGAUGACCCAGUUGAAUGAGAACUUGCCCAUGAAGAAGAAGUUGGUCACCAGGCGCCAAACCUGCAGCAGGCAGCAGGGGUGGUGAGGUGGAAGCAGUGGUUCAGGGGGGCGCCGGACAGCAGGCGAAAGGGGGUCUUGUGCCAUGGCGCGUGCCGACGCACACGCUCGCGGCAGCCUAACCCGCCACGCCCCUGAGUCCCCCCAGCUCCACAAGACAACGGGCACGAUUACAGCUCAACGCUGCUCGCACCUCGAAGUGCGUCGCCACUCGCGGCCAUAAUAGCGCAAUCCACAUAACAUUGACGAAGCCCAAGCGCCACAGCAGGGUGACGAUGAACAGCGAUGCCGCAUAGGUUCGGGUGAUGGGCGGCAGGCUCUCAAACCAAGCCCCUACACCCGUUCCCGCAGCGUUCACAUUUUGGAUGCGCGGCGGCAUCGCGCCUGCUUACGCUCUCUGAAGUGGGGAUGAAGUGUCCCUUAACCGGAGUGGCGUGUUUCGCGGAGCACAGGGGCUCAAUUGAUUGGUGUAUGUGAUGGUAUGUCGAUGCAAGUUAGCUGGGUGCCUCCAGUGACCGAGUUUGGCAGAGCGAUCGUGGACCAACUUCUUUUGCCUAUGUAUUCCAAGCUUUUUCCAGACGGUAUGUGUGCAGUGUGUAUGAGUAGAGUAGAUUUCGUUGCAGCCUCAACAAAAGCAUACGGGAACAAACAUGAAGGCCUCAUUCCAGAACUUGCCACCAUUUGCCCGUUCACAACGCUCGAGUCCAUAUAAGUACACCACAACAAUGGUGCCAUCAACUGCGCGCAUGCUUAGCUCUAGCCCUACGAAUCCGUGCAGCCGCACGCCAUGCAGCGUGCGGCCCUUGAACCCCGUUCGCAACCCGAUGGCCUGCGCCGCGGGCCGGCGUCUAGAACGCUUGAGAGAGGAUGAAGAUGAAUGGAGGCAGCGCAAGGGGCUGCGGGGGAGCCCGACGACAACUAAAGGCGGGCGACGAAGGGACCGUGGCGAAGGCGGAGCUGACGCCGAACACGGGGACAGUCGGAGCGCCCGGGGGCGACCAACGGCUGCGGCCAUAUCUGCUGUGGAGCUCUCAGACCGGGAGCUCCAGGAGCCCUCAAGCAGCGGUCUCGGGCGGGGCAGCGGGGACGGGCAGGAGUCGUUGAGAGAGGAAGAAGAGGAGGCACGGGAGGAGGAGGGGGAGGACGAGGACGACGAGGCCGGCCCUCGCAGUGCGGAGGACGGUUUCUUCGACGGCAAGUCGUACCGCCUGGUGUCCACUGAGAGCGGCGAGAACACCAUCCUCAUCAACGGUGAGAGGACGGGUGUGGAUGCGUGGGCUGUUAGCGGCUGUGUGGAACGGGAACGGUUUACACAACACGCGGCGGCGAUGGAGCUGUGGCGGGUGGCCUCAGUCGGACGGGGGUUCAUGUGGCCCUGCGGCACCUGUGCAAGCGGUCAGUGGUCCAGUGGUAGCAUACUACCCGUGACGGCAGGCCCGGGGUCGGCCAUGCCACAGCCUUACACCCUUCCCCGCCACUCGCGGCCCUGCCCUCGCGCUGCCGCAGGCGUCAAAAUGCACAUCUCCAUGAGCAAGCGGCCGUCGCAGGACGCGGAGGACAAGUGCAAGCUCAUCAAAGUGCGGAAGGGCUCGACGGUGCUGGACAUAUGCUGCGGUGAGGGGUGUGGCCGGCCGGCCGGCUGCAGGGGCUUGCCGCGCGUGCAGUGGGUGCAGCUGGUUGGCAGGGGGCGUGUCAGGCCGCCAACAGAGCCUUUGCUGCCGCAGUGAGUACCGGAGCGUAUUCAUCCCUGCUACUUCUAUCUCCGAGCUGUCAUUCCCCGCACUUACCUGGGCCACUCCUCUUCCUUUCCCCCACUGCCUUCUCCUCCGCCUCCGCCUCCACCACUUAGGCCUGGGCUACAGCGCCUCCGCCGCGGCCCGCCUGGGCGCCAAGCGGGUUGUGAGCCUGGAGGUGGACGCCAACGUGCUGGAGGUGGCGCGGCAGAACCCCGCCAGUGCGGCGCUGUUCGACCCGGAGGGGCCCAUACAAAUCGUGAUGGGGCCGGCGCAGGUGCGUGCGUGCGUGCGUGCGUGCGUGCGUGCGUGCGUGCGUGCGUGCGUGCGUGCGUGUGUGUGUGUGUGGGGGGGGGCGGUGGUGGUGGUGGUGGUGGUGAUGGCGGGAGAUGUCCACGCCAUUCCCAGUAGGACACCCAAGACAUGAGGACGCAGGACAGGACAAGCCUGGGGAGGCAAGGUGUGGUGAGGCGAGGUGGGUUAAGGGGCUCCCUCCCCAUUGAGCGCGGUAGGCUUUUGGUUCGGCGAGUCCUCUCCCGAUCUCCCGUACACGAUGCACCCGCUCACCUUCACUCUGCUCCUCCCCACGCGCCCUGCGUCUCCACCCCCUAGGAGUCCAUACUGGCGUUUGACGACGAGUCGUUCUCGGGCGUCAUGCACGACCCGCCCCGGUUCAGCUUUGCGGGGGAGCUGUACUCGCAGGUGACCAGGCUGGGGGGGGGGGAGUGUGUGGUGCAGGGCGCGGUGCAGGGGGCAGCGGUUGCCAGGGUCAGGUCACGGGGCGACCGCGCUGUUGCCUUUUACCCUUACCCGAACCCACGUGCACCACAUGCCCGAAUCUGCAACCCUGAAAUGGCAUAAACACACACAAGCAGACGCCCACCUGCGCCCUCAUCUCCCUCAUGCUCGCUUCCCUCUCCCCCAACACAGGCUUUCUACAACGAGGUAUUCCGGGUGCUCAAGUGCGGCGGCCGCUUCUUCCACUACACAGGUGGGCGGGCGGGUGGAGCGGUUGGGCCGCAACUUGAGGCGGACCGUAGCUAAACGGUGUUAGUUGGUACGAACGCCUCCUCCCCGUACUCGAAUGCACCUUUUAAACAUGGCGAGGCGCUGCGCAGGGAACCCCGGCGGGCGCAGCAGCAUCCCCAACGGCGUGAAGCGGCGGAUGAUGCUCAGCGGCUUCGUCAACGUCAAGUGGAUCGACACAUGCCAGGGCAUGCUGGGAAUCAAGCCCUGAUGGGGGUUGUGAUGGGAGCGCUGGCACGGGGGAAGUUACCUUGAUUCAUCUACCCUAAUUCAUUCACUCGAUGGACGAUGGCACGACGGCAAGAAAAUGAGGCAGUGAACAAGGGCGUGGUGCCGUGGGCUUUGCGCUAAUGGUCACGUGUGGCCGUCAGGCCGUGUUUGUGUGUGGUGUGGAGUAACACCGUCUUGCGGGAUGCGGCACCACAGCUUCAGGCCGUGCCGCCGCAUGGGUGACCGAGUCUCAAAUCACAUUCUCAAGGAGAGCCUUGGGCACGGUUCCUCGUAUCAGCGGCGAGCCCUUGAGCCUUGCUCCUCUUGUAGGUGUUUGCCGCAGACCGCAGACGCUGGUUGUUGGCAUCCAGGUUUGCGCGCGUGACCCGACCCGUUGCACUGGGGUAUAUUGUGGACGAGAGACUGUGAGUGUGAGGGAGGGGGAAAAGCGGGACGGGGGGGGGGGGGGGGACGGGGCGGGGCGGGGCGGGACGGGGGGCGGGGCGGGGGGCGGGGGCGGAGGGAAAUCGUGGCAGGGAACGAGGACGCGAAUGGUGUAACGGGGCUAUCAGUCCGAAGCAGCACCGCUUGCAGCAAACACAACGCAUCACAUUUUGCUCUUCGCCAGGUAUAACGCUUGAAUAGCUUCGGGUAGAUCCUAGGUCAAGCUGUCCCAAAUUCAAACUUGACUUCAGCUGGUCACACGUCCGCACUUACUACAGUAAUACUUAACAGUUUUAGUUGGCAACUGGUUCGAUUGGACUCUCUGGGCGGCCUGGGCGCAGCAAUGUCAAGAAUGGACAAGCGAAAGACAUGCCGAAAGACACGCGAGCGACUCCACGACGUCCUUCCAUGCACACACGGUAAGGAAGAUUGAUGCAAACAUGCCUGGAGGUUUGGGGGCAAGGGGUGUGGGGUGGGGGUUGCCAGCAACCCAGGCCUCGGGAAUGUCGAAAAUGGACUGGCAUGCCAGCAGACCUGCGUAGGUUUCCACGCGCUUCCCUGCGCACAGCACGAGGCAGACAUGAUGGGAACUUGGCUCGGGAUAGGGGGUCGCGGGCGCCGAGGGGGGCCGGCGGAAGGAACAGGCAGCCAAGAGUUUGGGAUUUGCUUGUCACGGGCUUGUCACGGGUCAGCGAUCUUGUCCCCACGCUGCGUAACAGCUCGCGACGCUUCAGACUUGCUGCAAUUCCAGUUGCUUUUAACAUGCUUACAUGCUUGCUGUUGGUCCGGGUCGACACCCACAUCCCCAACGUAUGCAGCAGCAUCAACGCACGCCUGCGCGGGGCGUCUUGCAGCACGUCCGCGUGGCCACUCCAACCGUCUAGUUUGUAGGAGACUGCACCGUCGGACAUGGCGCCAUCGGCCGUGUUCUGCGAGAGCGAGGAGCUCCUCCAUGCGCUCUACUGUUUCCCGCAUCGCGAGGCUGCGCGGCCUCAGACUGCCGCAGAUGCAGCAUCUCUGUCCGGCCUCUUCUUCAAGUUUGUACAGCAGGUGCACAAGCGCAAGCACACCGCUUGGGAACGGAAGGAUGGGUUCGCCUGUGACAGCGCGCGCCCAACGCCAACCUCGUGCGCCUCCCUGCAGAUGCUGCCAUCUGGGUCUGGGGCGGCUGGUGGCUGGGCGGAUCAGGAAGACGCGGCAUCUCUAGCGGCAACAGCCUGGUACCUGGAGUCGGGCCUGGUGACCUGGUUUCCAGAGUUCGGCUGCGCGGUCCUUGCCCGGGGGGCGCUGGCACUUGCAGAUGGGGACGACGGCGCUGGCGACCUGCGCGCACAGCCCGGCCAACUGUCUCUCCACGUGUUAGCGCUGGACGAGUGGCGGUUCACGCUCCACAGGUGCGCAUGUACCUGCUGUGGUUCAUGUUUCCACUAUGUGCGUGCUUGCUUGUCUUUCGUCCAGUACCGGCAGCCGAUCCACGCACGUGCCCUGCCUCUCUACCUACCCAUGCAGCUCCCCAAGCGGCGCAUUUCAGCACACAGCCAUGAGCACUGCCCGGCUCGGUGGAGUGCUGUUCAUGCCAUGUGGAGGCACCUGCCCACCGUCGGCCCUCACCCGCGUCAUUGGGAACGUGCGCGACAUCAUUCACCGGAGCCAGGACGCCAAGAUCAGGAGCAACGAGAAGGGCUUUCAGCGCACCCCCGCCUUCAUCCACGCCGCCGUCCUGGAUGCCUUAGCGCUGGAGGUGGCUGGCGGCGGUGGCACCACCGGCACUGGCAGUUGGAAGAAGACAGUCGCUCGGGGCGGCACCACGGAUGUGGGUCAGCACACCGGCGGCGACACGGUGCGGAACACGUGUUGGCCGCUGGUGCAAGCGACCAUCCAGGUGAGAACAUGAGCUACUCGUAUGCAUAUGGGCUCCAGAUUUUCAUGUUCGGCAGUUGCCGCGCUGCUUCAAGCAUGCGCCAACUAGAGGUGCCAAGGGGUUACGGAAGGAUUGGAUGGGUUUUAUGGUAGGGUGGCGGGGUAUUACAGCCAGGAACCUCUUUAGAAACGCUUUCCCAGGGUGGAGGCUUGACACUUCUCCUCGUUACGUACCGCGUCCUUGCAGGUCUCCUUGCUGCGCAUGGGCGUGUGCGGCCCCCACCAGCAGCCCAACCUGUUGUUCCGCCGCGCCAUGGCCCACAUGGACCUGUGGCUGCUGCGCCGCCAGGUGCAGUGCAUGGACAGCCCCAGCGCCGCCACGCCGGUCGCGCUCACGGCGACCAUGCACAUGCUGCAGGCCACUGCCGCCAAGGCCGCGAACCUGGCGGCGGAGGGCGAGGACGUGUCGACCUUUGAGAAGGCGUGCCAGUCAGUGCGGCAGUCGCUGGAGGCAGUCGCGUCGGAACGGGCUUGGAAGGCAGCGGAGCAGCACUGCGUACCGCCCGCAGGCUCGGAAGCUGCGCUCGGCGAGUUGCUGUGGCCUAGAGGUACGCUGCCAGGGCUACCGCCAGCUCAGCUGGCAGCUGGUGGGCUGGAGGCUGCUAAGCAGCGGGAGAGUGCCAACCUGGGCACAGUGCCGCUGCUGGAGCCCGGCGCGUCCUUCCAGAAGGUACUGGGGAUGCUGCAGGAGCCGCUGUGGGUGCAGCCCUCGGGCGACGCGGCGGCUCAGCUCGUGUUGCGAUCGGUUGAGCAUGACUUGUUUGCGCGCGUGACCCAGCUGGCGACGGGACGCAAUGGAGGCAGCAGCAGCCACACUGCGCAGAUGUCCGAUGCCGACCUGUCUGCGCUGACGGCGGUGGUGGACAGCUACCGCGACGCGCUGCACAGCUUCCUGCGGACGGCGGCGGCGCAGUCGGUGAUGCAGUGCGAGCUGCGCAGCCGCGAGGUGCUGGUGGUAUGGUGCGCCUACUGUCUGGCGCACAAUGCUGAAGCGCGGCGGCAUGGACUGGUGCGGGAGUACCAGCCUGCGCUGCAGUUUGCCGACCUGCGGCACUUGGUGCUGUCGGACAGGCGGGCGGUGGACGCGCUGCUGGCGGUGGCGGCCUACCUGCACAAGCAGCAGCAGUGCGGUGGGCCGCUGCUGUUCUCGCUGCGGGAUGGCGGCAGCGGCACAUUUCGCUUCGCAGAGCGCUUUGCCGCCGCAGAUGGCCACCUUCAACAGAUCCUUGUGAGCGAGAGGCAGGAUGCGGACCGGCGACAGAGCGCCCACUGGGACAAGGUGCAGCAGCAGAAACGUGAUCUGCAGCAGGCUCGGCAGCAGCUGGCGGCCCUGAAAGCGGCGGAAACAUGCUUGCAUGAGCACUUGGUGAAGCACGAUCAGGAAACGACCUAUCUGCAGCAAGUACAACAACAGCUGGCGGCCCUGGAGAUGACGCAGGGGAGAUUGUGUUGGCAGCUUGCACAGCACGAUCGGGACAAAACAUAUCUGCAGCAAGCUCAGCAGGAGCUGGCGGCCGUGAGAAAGACGGAGCAGAGCUUGCGUGAGCAGCUUUCAGGAGCUGUUGAAACCACCUGUGUGUGGCAGCGUCAAAACCAGCGCGCCACGAUUGCCCGCAACAUCAGCACCAACGCCUCCCAGCAGAACCAGUGCAACUAUGAGAUCGCCAGGCUGGAGAAGCCGCCUGAGGCCGUGCUGCAGCCGCUGCCUGCAGCCGACGGCCUGGCGCGGCAGUGGCUGUUCUUCCUGCACAUGCCGCCUGCCUUCCGGCGCCUCGCACGCCUCAGCUUCCUGGCGCAGCAGGUGCUGCUGCCGCGGCCCCUUGGCGCCUGGAGCCCAGAGCUGGCAGCUGUGCAGAAAGCUGUGACGGUGCAGCAGCCACACACAUCCGCAGUCCAGUACUACAACCAGCGCCGCAGCUGCCGCACAUACUUAUCCUCUGCCGGUCAUCAGCUGGCAGACGGACAAGACGGCUGCGUCAAGUUGUAUGCGGACGGCCAGCUUCCCAGCCACGUUGGCCCCGCAAGCAUCGAGCUGUACACCUCUCCGGCCGACGGCGUGUGGCAUCCGGACUCCCUGCGGCCCAGCAUGCUGUGGGGCGGCAGCGGCAGCACCGCCGACAGCGGCAGCGGCCUCCCGUCGUACUUCAACCCGUUCGCGGCCGUGAACGAGAACACCAUUGAGGAAUUCUUCACGGAGCGGCUGCCGGACAGCGCGGCGGCGCUGCAGUGGGCGGCGCACCAGCGCAUCUCGGCGCAGGCCACACCGCCCGAGCGCAGCAACUGGGCACUGGCGGGCCAAGGUGUGUCACCAGACGUAGACAGGGCAGGUGCCUGCGGGUAAACACUACGGUACUGCUGGGCGCUUGAACCUACGACAGCUGUAAGGUUCACGGUUAGUUGCGGAGCCAUGUAAGCCUGCCCAUGCCCCCUAUCCUGUGCCUGCAGACGCCUGCCCGGCGGAGCUGCUGUCCAAGGCCGCCUUCCUGCAGUUCGGCCGCAUGCGCGCCUACCCGCUGCAGCAGCUGCGAAACCUGUGCGAGGUGCUGCGGCGGCAGGACCAGGCGCUGCCGCUUACCGAGCCGGCGGUGCAGGUCCUGCUGCGUCAGCUGCUGUUUCAUGUCGGCGCCUUGACCAUCGACAGCAACAUCAGCACUGAUGGCGCCCGGCCACAGCUGAUUUGGCGCACGGGCUGGGAGCAGCCCGGGGACGUGCUUGACACGCUGUGCUCGGAGCUGGGGGCCCUCGCCGACACCCUGGACGGCAAGGUGCGCGACCACGACGCCAUCCUGCUGUUGGGCGAGAUGGCGGCGUACCUGGCGGACUGGCACUCGCCAUGCAGCGCCGUGGCGCGCCGCUUUGCCGCGAUCGCCAUGCUUGAGGCGGACCGGAUGCAGGUGGAGCUGGAUGCAGCUGCGGGGCUGGCGGCAGACGAUCGGCGCGUGUCAGAGCUGCUGGCGCGGCUGGUGCGCUGGCGGGUGAUGGCACUGUUAUGCUACGGCGCCGGACCGCUGUCGCCCGCUGCUGCCGGCCGCGGCGCACGGCAGCAGCAGAGCAAGGACGCAGCCACAAUGGUGCGCCUGAUGGUGCAGGUCUGCCACGGCCUGACGUUUCAGACGGACAGGGCCAUGCAGCAGGAGCUAGAGCUUCUGCGCACUCGUGCGCACAACGUCAUGGCGUCCCGCGUGCAGCGCCUUGGGGAGCUGCUCACAUCUGAGGAUCUCACGGCGGCAGUGGCGAGCGUAUUGGAGCGCACGCCUGACUCGCUGCUCUGGCAGCGCCUCAGUCAAGCGCAGCAGCUCACAGCCUGCUACCGGGCUGAGGGCGCGGACGGGCGGCUCUACUCCAUCAACAUCCUGGACGGGACUGUGCUCUUCGACGGGUGGCCGCCCAGCCGGCUGCCCAAGGACAUUACUCAGCAUCCGCUGUACAAACGCACCUUCGGCAACUUCAACUUCGAGGUCGCAUUCACCGGCGGGGCAAGCUCGGCAAGUCAGGGCGGCGGUGCGGUGGUGCUACAGACGCUGCGCAAGGUGCGGGGCCGGCGCUACGACUUCCGCCUUUGCGCCGCAGCAGGUGGCAAGCAGCAGCAACUCGUGAUCACGGAGAUGGACGUGGAACACGGGGACGAGCGGCUCGAGCUGCUGGACGCGGGGCCGGACAGCAGCUGCGAGGGGUGGGGCGAGCAGCUGCCGGUGAGGCUGCGGGAGCUGCACAGCCACUGGCUGAGCCGGCAGCGCGGCGUGCUGGUGUUGCGGCCUCGCAGUUUCCAAGAGCAUGACUGCAUGUACGUCAUCACGUGCAUGUCAAUUAAAAGCAGUGGCAGCGUAGGAGGAAGCCUCCCAGUGCCCGUUAACACGGCCACACAGUGUGCGUACAGUUGCUGGCGUGUGCCGCGGCACUCGCAGUCGUGGCUCUGGCGGCAGCUGCUUCUUGCGGCGCCACCACUGCUGGUGGACCGCCUAGUGCUGCCGCAGGGCUCUAAGCUAGUGGACAACAUCCUGGCCAAAUUUGAGGAGCCGCGCUUCAUCCAUACCUUCCUCAGCGUCUCCAGCGAGGUUUCAUUCGAGCUGCCGCGCUGCGGCCUGGAAUUCAGCAUGCAGAGGAAGCGGCCGGGAUCUUUUUUUUGGGGUGGCGGCGAUGCCUGCUGCCAGCUCAUCUCACGCAACUACACUGGCUAUCGCUUGCGGCGGUUACAGCUGCUUGCGGAGUGCUGCGGCGUGAGUGGCUCCGCGGCAGGGGCGUGUGGCGACAACGGCAGCAACAGUAGCAGCAAUGCUGCAGCUGCAGCCGCGCGAGGCAUCUACACGCUGCCUGAGUUCCGACAGUACCUGGUCCUGGAGCGUAUCCCGCAGCCUGCGGUGGCGUCCAUGGGAGGUCAGCGCGCAGACGUGCUGGUGCUCGUGCCGGCGGGCGCAGUGCAAAGCAGCCUGUGGGAGGAAGGCAGCGGUGGAAAGGUAGCAGUCAGCGUCACCCUCCCCUCUGGCAGCCAGGCAAGCGUCAACUUCCACUGCUACGAAGUUCACGGGCGUUUCGGCCACCUGCGUGCGCCCAACCGCCUGGCGCGGCUGCAGCUGGCGGCGUUGUACGCCGCCACCUCCACGCUGCUGCCGGAGCCGGGCAGUCGCUGCACCGGGGCCCAGAUGGCCAUGGAGCUGCUGCGGCAGUGCUGGAGCACCCGGCCGCUUGAGGCGGCUGAGGCGGAACAGCUGGCGGCGGUGGGGCGCUUAGGCGGGCACCUGGCGCCUGGGUUGCAUUUGCUGGCACAUGACCUCGCGGCCAGUGCCGUGCAGCUCGCGCACCUGCAUGCGGUGCCGGCGGACAAACCUGCGGCGGCUGCAGCCGACGGCCCAGGCGCUGCCGGCGGUGGGGACAUUGCUGCCCGCUUUGAUGCGCAAGACACCGCCAUCAUGCCCCGGCUGUGUGCCGACCAUGCUCAAGCCUACGAGGAGCUGCAGAGGUCCGCACACGCCGCCCUACCGCCUGGCUGGGGCGCACACCCGCGGCUGCUGCUGACGCCCGUGGAGGAGGAGCGGACUGUGGGUGUGCACGUGCCUCGUGAACCCCUGCCCGCGUGGCAUCGGUUGCGCCAGUUCGAGGCCAUUGCUGCGCUUGGCGAGGCCCUGCCGCUGGCAGUUAGCUAUGUGGAGGAUACGGAGGCAGAGCUGCAGGACUUGCUACUGCCGCCGGCACCCGCAGUGGAUGGCGCCAGCAGCCAGGCGAUGCCGCCCUACCCGCUUUCAGCGGCGGCUCGUGUGCGUCAACGGCGGCACCUUGAGGCGGAGAUGCACGCUGAGCUGGAGGACAGCUGGAACGCCCACCAUUUGCAGCGGGACCUUGCGACGUACAGCGUCAAGCCCGGGUGCCUGGACCGCGUGCGGGCAAUGCAGGCAAGUACGGUAGUGCUAGCAUCCAGGACGGCGGCCCUGUUGUGCGCAGCCUUUGUCAUUGACCACCGUUUGCGGCUGAGUACACCCCUGCUCGUGCGUUUCCGCUGCUGCAGGCUACGACAAGCCGCCACCGCCGCAACCUGGAGGCCCACCUGCUGCACCAGCUAAUGCAUGUGCCCGAGUCUGUGGGCUGCCAUGGAGCCAGCAUCCGCUUGCUGCGCGCCGCAGCCACCGCUCCCGCAGCCGGGCCCCUCGACCUGGCCCGUGUGGCGGUGCGCCCAGAGCUCGUCAAUGAGUUCAACCCCUUCCUAUCGCCGGAAGCGGCGCAGGAGCUGCAGCGGCGGGUGCGGUUGUGGCUGAGGCUGUGUGUGCUGGAGGACAGGCUCGGGCGAAUCGUGGCGCUGGCGGCGGCGCGGAGGGCGGAAGGCGACUGCCUGCCACAACUGGUGCAGGUGCGCAGGGGAGACGGCUUGAUGUGUUCUAAUCUUGUGCUGCACGACAUAAACGUAUUCUACGCCAAUCCGCUUGUUUGCAGGAGCUGAGCGUGCACCGCACGUGGGACGCGGCGGCGCACCCCGAGUGGCUGGUGUUCGAGGUGGAGUCGCAGCUGCAGAUCCGGCCGCAGCAGCACACCGUGGCCCGCAUGCUGAUGGAGGGCGGUGACGGGCCCAUCGCGCAGCUCAACAUGGGCGAGGGCAAGACGCGCGUCAUCCUGCCCAUGCUGCUGCUGGCGCUGGCGGACGGAAAGCGGGUGGUGAGUCCCUACCAGCUCACCUGUACAACGCACAUGCAAAUACUUGCCUGAUACAUGAGGCUAACCCACGCUUGCAUCCUCAGGUGUCGCUGACGUUCCUGUCCACGCUGCUGGAUGAGGCCUACGCCUACCUACACGGGGCGCUGUGUGCGGGCGUGCUGGGCCGCAAGCUGUUCACGAUGCCCUUCCAACGCGACAUCGAGCUGACACCGGCGCGUGCCAUGCGCAUGCGUGCAGCCCUGGCGCACUGCAUGCGAGUAAGUGGCCGGCCACCGUGCCGUGCAGAGUUCAGCUUGAAUAUACUUGCACGUGUAAGAAACGCCCACCAACAUCCGAUCCAGUAUCAGCACUUGUCUACCUGCGUGCCCUCAGGAGCGCGGUGUGCUGCUGCUUGCACCGGAGCACCGCCUGUCGCUGGAGCUCAAGUGGAAGGAGUACCUGCUGCAGCUGCGGCAGGCAUCGGUGCCAGCAGCUGCAGGCACGGGCAGUAACGGCGGCGACGUGGAGGCGCUGCUAGCCGCUGUGCUCAAGACGCCGGUCCUCAGCAUCCUGGACGAGAGCGACGAGCUGCUGCACCACAGGUGCGAAGUAGUCCUUGAUUUGGCACGUAUGGGCACGACACUGGUGUAAACCUCACAACUCGACGGAGCGUUGACUGCUGACUUCGUCUGCUGUUGCAACAGGUUCCAGCUCAUCUAUGCGUGCGGCGGCAGGGUUCCCCUGGUGUCCUUCGAGGCCCGCACCGGCGCCAUGCGGGCCGUGCUGGGUGCUGUGGCCCAGCUCGCCAACAGCGGCCAGCUGCAACUCCCGCACUCCACUCGGGUCCUGGAGCCGCCGCCUGCUGUGGACCCUACCGACGCAGAAUGCUCCGUGGGCUCUGCUGCUGUUCCGGCGGGCGCGUUCUGCGGCCUGCGGCUGCUGCCGGGCCCGGACCUGGAGGCCGCACUGCCCGCCUUCCACCAUCAGCUGGCGCGUCACGUGCUGGACCACCCGCCCUUCGAAUUCCAGAAGCUGACGAAGCUCCUGGACGAGGGUUCAAAGGUCGGUGCAUGGCUUGCGCUGCCGUUUCUGUUGCUGCCUGGUGGUUGAUUGUGCGGUACCUGCAGAGCCGCCCGAACCCCUGGUACCGCCCAUGCGUGUGCACAGGUGCGGGUCAUGACCUGCAUCACUGACGCGGACACGGAUGCGGAGACUGCGUUGGGCGCGGAGUUGCUUGACAAGCUGGCUGGCGGGGUGCUGCACUCGUUUGUGCUGGCGCUGCGCGGGCUGCUGGGCUGCGGCCUCCUGCGGCACGGGCUGACGCUGCGGCACAACGUCGAGUAUGGCAUAGACAGGUACGGUGCACCCUCAGGGCCUCGGGCUAUGUCACGCUGAAGAGUAACAUGGCAACUCCACCUGCCCUUGCCGAGUAAAGCGUGUGCUCACAAAAUGCCUGUCUGCAGACGCACGGCCGCUGCUGGUGUCCGCACGCGCAUGGCCGUGCCGUACCGUGCCGCGCACACGCCCUCGGAGCGCUCCGAGUUCGCGCAGCCCGACGUGUCGCUGCUGCUGACGCACCUGGCCUACCGCUAUGAUGGGCUGACCCUGCCCGAGUUCACUGCCGCGGUGGAACGGCUGCUGCACGGGCUGGGCAAGGAGGCGGCUGCCGACCACUACCGGGAGUGGCUGGUGCUGUCGGCUGAGAGCAUCCCGAAGGGUGAGUUUGUAGCAUGCCGAAAUGCGCUCCUGCCCAAUCAAAGCUCGGCCCGACUCAUGGACAUGAUGCGUAAUCGUUUCGCUCGCGCUUUUUCUGUGGCCUCGUGAAACUGCAGAGGAGCUGUCUCGCUUCAAGGAUGUGAACCAGCUGGACGCCAGCAGCGGCUCCCAGAUGGCGGCCAUGCACCGCCACCUGCGCCGCAACACCGCUGUGGUGGACUUCUGGCUGCGCUUCUGUGUGCUGCCGGCCGAGACGCGGCAGUACCCGCAGCGGCUUGGCGCGAGUGCCUGGGACCUGGCGGCGGCAGGUGGCCGCGUCAUGGGCUUCAGCGGCACCAACGACAACUACCGGCUGCUGCCGCUGCGUGUGCGCCAGGCGGCGGCGGAGGACCCUGCGCUGAAGGCCACCAACGGCAAGAUGCUGUCCGUCCUCCUGCAGAACACCCACGGCUUCCACACGCUGCCGCCCGCGGAGGUGAGCGCCAGCAGCUCGCUCUGCUAGGAUCAUUUGCAGAGACAGGCGUUACGGCAUUGUUUGCGAGGUGGAAUCUGUUGCAGAUGUCUCUCUCAUUUCUGCGAGCCUGUGCCCUUGCUUGUCGCAACAGGACGCUGGCGGCGUGGCGGUAUGGCAGUCCCUCCUGCAGAUGGCCCUGGACAAGUCGGCACACGCGCUGAUCGACUGCGGAGCUCUGCUGGCGGGCACAACCAACAGGUGGGCAACGGACUGGGCAACGGACUGCUGGCGAGGCAUCCAGCUCGUGCUCCAUACUAAGUGGACAAGCAAUCAAGGCCCUUGCCAACCUGCUGAUAAUCGCCAUAUUUGCGCCUGUCCCUCUGCGCACACAGGCAUGCCGCGGAGUUCCUGCUCGCCGAUCCGCGCCUGCAGCAGCUCGGCUUCCGGGGCGUCACAUUCUACGCCGAGAGGGAGCGCGGCUGGGCGGUGCUGGAGCUCACCGGCCGCUGCCUGCCCCGCUCCAGCUCGCCGCUGCAGGAGCACGAGACGUUUGUUAUCUAUGAUGAGGCGCGCUGCCGCGGCGCGGACCUGAAGCUGAAGCGGAAUGCGGUAGCGUUGCUCACGCUGGGGCCGCGCGUGUGCAAGGACAAGCUCAUGCAGGCGGCGGGGCGGCUGCGGCAGCUUGGCCGAGGCCAGGCACUCCGCUUUGCUGCGACGGCCGACAUUGCUGCCCGCGUGACAUUGCUGCCCGCGUGGCUGAGUGCCCGCGUGACAUUGCUGCCCGCGUGGCUGAGUACCCGCGUGACAUUGCUGCCCCCGUGGCUGAGUACUGCGGCUCCCGCAUCAGCCGGCGGUACAGCCAGCAGUGCUGCUGGCGCGUGCCCUCGCGCAGUCGACGUGCUGGCGUGGGUGAUGGGCAACACCGUGGACGCCAACCUGCACGGCGUGGCGCUGUGGGCAGCGCAGGGGCUGCAGUUUGCGACCGCGCUGGGCGCUCCGCAGCUCUCCCUGCAGGAGGAGGUGCUGGGGCUGGAGGAGCUUUAUGCGGGGAGCAAGGCGCCACGCCCGGUGGUGGCGGUGGUGGCGGCGGCGGCAGCCAAGCAGCUGCGUUGGCGUCAGAAGCAGUGCGGCUCAUCAGCAGGCGGCACGGCAGCCGGAGGACGGCGGAUGUACACAGCGGCAGAGCUGAUGGUUGAGAUCCAGGACCUGGCGGCACGCUACGGCGAGGGCCACACCGUGCGUGCCGGCAGCGGCGCGGACGACACGUGUGAGCGGGAGCUGGAGCUGGAGCAGGAAGAGGAAGAGGAGCAGGAGCAGGAACGGCAGGUUCCCAAGCAGCGGCCCGCGCCGGAGGCAGACUGGUCAUCGUACAGGUGUAUCAACUCCUCAACUAUGGACCAACUCACAUCCGAAACACGCUGUAGGCUGCUGCCACUCCGCGAUGCGGUGACCCGGCUGGACAGCCAGGACCCGGCGCAGCCCAUGGCGGCCCUGCCCUGGUCGGACAAGGUGUACGUCAGCCACAACUACCUGCACGCCAUUGCGGGGCUGCCGCCGGGCCAGCCGCUGAACGAGUACCUGCGGCCGGUGGGCUGGCUGCUGGUGCUCAAGCGCGGCGAGGUGCUGCUGCUGUCGGAGCGCGAGGCAGACCAGCUGCUGGCAGCGACCUGGGCCGAUGCACCGGCCGCGAAGGGCACCACCAGCUUCCGCCACCGCCUGGUGCGCUACCUCGCGGACACCGCCUCGAAGCGGGGCCCACUGCUCGUGAGCCAGGCGUACGCGUGGCAGGCGGCGGCGGUGUCCUCGGCCACGCGGCCGCUGCUCGUCACCGACCUGGGUUUGACGACGGCCGGCAUUGUGCAGGACGCCGCGGACGCGUGGGCUGAGCUACGGCGGCGGCUGGGUGUUCGGGAGCUGGUAAGCGUGCGGGUGUUUGCCGGCGAGACCUCGUACCGGGUCACGCGACUUGCAGGUGCCAACGGCACCGCAGCCAGCAGCGGUUCAGCAGCCACGGCAGCAGUUGAGGCGGAGCUGCAGCGGCUGGUGGCGGGGCGGCGGCCGCAGGUGCAGCAGCUACUGGUGAUGCGCGGCCGUCAGUCGCAGAUGGCGCGCAGUGACCUGGAGAAGGCGGUGGAGGGGCUGCAGCUGCAACUGUAGAGAGGGGUUGCGUAUGCGCACCCCCGACGGCUGGCGCGGAUUGAUGGGGCUUGCGGCGGGGCUGGACGGUUAAGUUGUGGUUUGGUGAACUGACGUGGAGGGCUUGAACCUGAAUGCCAAACAGAUUAAGGGUUAGUGGCACUCCAUUGUGCAUGUUGCGUAUGCAAGUGGUGGAACAAGGGAUGCUCGGUACGCAUUGGAAAGUGGCUGGUGCGGCGAUGCAGGGUUGUUUGCGGGGCUGGACAGCAAGGCUGUUGUGAAGGGCAGCCUGUGAGUGCCAGUUGAGCGCGGUAGGCUUGGCUGCGAAGAGGUAUCGUUGCAGACACGUUGCCUACGUUGCUGAAGCCAACUAUGGAUUAGAGCUGUCGCUCGGCUGAUCGAGAGAAUGGUUGAUUGUUGGAUAAACGUAGUGACUCAAUGCCACAGUGCGGCACUGGAAAGCGAUUGUGCACUUUACAGCACCUGAAAACGUGUCCGGAAUUAGCACCUGCUGGGGUGGCAGCCGAGGACCGUAUGUAGAGGCGGUAUACCUCUAGCCCGCCUUCACCCACGCCUCCAAUAGCUCGGACACAGCCGCCACGCCCCCCAGCCGCCCAUACCGCGCCCGCAGCGCCACCAGCAGCGCACCCGCCUCGUCUCGCCCCCACCCCGCCGCCACCAGCGCCCGCAGCUCCGCCUCCUCUUCCCCUGCCGCCACCUCUUCCCCUGCCGCCACAUCCUCUUCCCCCUGCCGCCUAGACCGCUGCCCAACCUCCUUACCGCCACCGGAGUCAAGCCCACUGGCCCGCCCUGCGCCCUGUCCUCGCCCCCGCAACCGCCGCAGCUCCUGCAGCACCCCCAGCGGACCCCCCUCCGCCGCCCCCGCCGCCGCCGCCGCCCCCUCCGCCGCCCCCUCCGCCGCCGCCAUGGCCGCCUCCACCGCGGCGUCCACGUGGAAGGCACUGCCCGGCACCGCCGCCGCUGCCAGGCCCAGUAGCCGCAGCCGCCGCGCCCGCAGCAGCCGCUCCUGCCGCGCCGCCCAGUCCGGCGCUGCUCCCACCACCGCCCCCGACUCCACUGCCUCCACGCCGCCAGCACACUCUUGCCCCUCCUGCACCUGGUUCUGCUGGCACUGGCGCUGAGAGGCCAUCAAUGCCACCCUUCGACACGUGAUGGACAGGUCCAGAGCGCCACUCACACAGAACUGCAGCCACCGCCCCUGCUCUGAGUCCUGAUGCUCUGCUGACGUCGGCGCAGCGCCCCCCAGCGCCGCGUCCACCUCCGCCGCCACCGCCUCCACCAGCCGGUCCAGAGCAUUCGCCAGCGCCAGCAGCUGCCCAGCGGCUGUGCUGCUGCCACUGCUCCCGCUACUGCCGCCACUGCUUGCCGCGAGCUCGCCUGCAGCCGCCGCUUCCUCCGCGCCUGCCAGCGCGGCUCCCAGCAGCUGAUCCACCCAGGCCGCCGCCGCCUCGUCACACACCAGCGCUUCGCCCUCGUCCUCCUCGCCCUCGCCCUCCUGCCCCUCGUCAAGCCCCUCCUCUUCCCCUUCCUCCUCGUCCGCCUCCGGCUCCGCCUCCACGCCUGCCGCCGCUCCCGACGCGACCAGCUGCAUGAGUCGGACCGCCGCCGGCGCCGCGCGCGAGUCCACUGCCUGCCAGGCCGCCAGCAGCAGUGCCGGCAGGCGCGGCCGCCGCCCCGCCGCCCCAGUGUCAGUGGCCAGCAGCAGCUGCUGCUGCGCCGCCGCCGCCGCCUGCUCCGCCAGCUGCUCCUCCAGGCAGCAGCGGCUGCAGGCGCACGUGAAGCCGUACUGGGCCUGCAGCGCGGCGCGACGCACCUGUGCAGCGCGUGUCGAGGCAGUGCGGGGGCGAUGCGGGGGCUUGACAUGGCACCAUACACUGGCAGUAUUGGCAGUAUGGGCACAUGCAUGGCCGCCACGCAGAUGGCGGCACUAGCAGCGGUGUUGCCCGGAGGCAGGGUGAUGUGCAUGGUUACAGUGGGUAUGCACCAGCCGCCCUGUGCUGCCUGCCGUACGCCCCGCCCGCUGCGCGCACGCACCUGCAGUGGCGCCGCCAGCUCCGGCCCCAGGUAGCUGUCACACACCUCCUCGCCCGCACGGAUGCGGCGAACUGCGCGCACCUGUGCAAAUGCGCGCCGCGUUCACCACACCCACAGCACCAUCACAGCACAUGCCGCACAUGCCACACAACAGACCGCACCGCUGCUACGAGCCCCACGACGGAGCCGACACGGCUGCACGCCCUCCCGAGGGCGCACGGCCCCACGGCCCCACAUACGCUCACCGGCACCAUUGCGCAAUGCAUCCCAGUGUGCCCUGUCCCCCGUCAGCCCCAUCUGGCUGGGCACGGGGACAUCAUUCCCGCGGGCCCCUCCAGGGCCCUCCCCGCCGACCCGUCCCCCCCUGCCCCGCUCCCCCGCACUCACCACCAUGGCCCUCCCCACCACGUACUGGCACACGGCCGGCGCACACGAGUGGUUCAUGAGCGCGUGCUCCGUCCACAACCCCGUGUGGCCGGGCCGCUCCCGCAGCAGCCGCCACCAGCGGCCCUGCGCGGCACUGCUGCCACCGCUGCUACUGCUGCCACUGGUGGUGCUGGCGGCAGAGGCGCUGCUGCUACUGCCGCCAGCGUCAGCGGCUGUGGCCGCCAGACGCAGGAAGGGCAGCGCCGCCAGCUCUGACAGCCCCUGCCGAGCCGCCCCCUCGGCGUCAGUAGUGCUACUGCCAAGACCGGCUGCUACUGCCGCCAACCCCAGCCCCUCCUCCGCGGCUGCCAUGCGCACCGCUGCUACAGCCGCCUCUGCCGCCGCAAUGCCGGCGGCUGGGUCCAUAGUGGCCUCGGAGAAGCAGUUGAGCUGUAGCAGCCUCAACACCCGGCUGUAGCUCAGCCCACCACCAUCACCGCCGCCACUGCCACCGCCGCCGCCAUUCCUGCCCGCUGGCUGUGCUACUGCCGCCGCGCCCUCAGGCUCCUGCCGCGCGGCUGUAGCAACAUCCAGCCGCUGCAGCUCCUCCAGCAGCGCACCUGCGUCCGCGAUGACGUGGUCACACGUACAUGGCAACGGUCCGGGACAAGCUAACACUUGGCAGACCUGACACGUGGGGUGUGACUUGGGCCCAGAGUUCCAGCUACCAACACCGACCACGGCCCCCACACUGCUGGCGGCCGCGGGCCACCUGCAUGCAGCGCAGCGGCCACCUCCUGCAGCCCGGCACCUCCCCCCCGCCAAGCCCUCCAUCCGCACACGCUCUCACCCACCCAUGUUGGGGCAGGCCUGCAGGCUGGCGGCACUGCCGUCAUAGCUCAGCGCCAGCAGCCGGCGCUGGGCGGCACUCAGGGGCGGGCCGCGCGUGAUGCGCCGAGCCAGCGCCUCCACCGGCGGAGCGUCGCCCUCAUCGCCCUCCUCCUCUUCCUCCUUAUCCUCCUCCUCCUCUUCUCCCUCCCCCUCCUCUUCUCCCUCCUCCCCCUCCCCCUCCUCCGCCUCCUCGCCCCGCCCGCCGCUGUACACGACCGCCACCGGCAGUGCCACCAGCACCAGGUCACCGGGGCGCAGCUCCCGCACCGCCACCAGGCCCCGGCCCCGGCCUGUGUGAGGGUGUGGAGAGGCGACCGAACGGAUGCGGGCGGGGAGGAAGGGGUUUAAGAGGCGGUGUUGGAGGCAGUUAAGCAUGUGCUGGAUACAUGUUGAAGGCACUGAGCGCUUGCCGGUACCAGUGCGUGCCUGUGUAAAAGGGACGGCUGGGCUCCCUUGUCUCAACCCCCCUGCGCCUCAGUCCAACCUGCCCUACACCCCUGACUUGCGCCGCGCCGCACCUGGCAGCUGCCUCAGCUCCACGGGGCCGUAGUGGCGUGGCAGAGCGCUGCACCGUCCGCCCGCACCACCACCCCUGCCCCUGUGAAAGCCGCCGCCGCCGCCGCCGCUGCUGGGUGCAGGGAAGAGUCUGCUCGAGCGGCUCUUUGGCCGUGCGGGCCAGGGACUACCAGUGAUUGCGGCCACUGACGCUGUGCUGGCAGCUGGGGGCAGCUGCUGGGGCCGCGUGGUGAUGCCAGCGGCGGCGGUGGCGGAAGAGAACGCAGCGGCAGCGGUGGCUGCUGCCGCUGGCCUGGCGCUGCGCGUGAACGUGCAAUGCAGCAGGCGCCAGCAGGCGCCUGGCGCCUGACGCGGAUUUGGUGCUGGUGCCGCCGAUUUGCAGCUCGGCAGCGUGCGGCUGGUCGGCAGCACAUGCCGCGAACCCGGGAGGCACGACGCGUUACUGGAGCCGCUGGCACUGGCACCACGUUGGGCGCCGACACCGCUGCUGCCGGCUGCGCAAUGCAUGACGGCGUUUGCACCAAUUACUCAGUCUAGCCGGCUUAUCACAACUUAGAUUGUGCUAGCCCGACGAUGUUCUUUAGCUUGGCAGCUGCAAAGCGCACAUGGUCACAGUCACGAAUGAGUCCCCCAAUUCUUGUCAUGGCAUGCAGCGGCCUAGCUUCAACUUGCAUUCGGGUAGUUCUGUUCCAUGGCACACAGUGUAAAGCUUCAUGUUAUUAAUGACGAUAGGCAAAUUGUCUUGCCGAGUGAAACUGGAUCCACCUGCUGUCCCCAUCGUCCUUCAGGUGAUUUCGGUUGAGCCACAAGGGGUUUCCUGAAGGUGGCAUGAGGGGCAGUCAUGGCCGGGAGUCCAACCGAGUUCCAGGCUGCACGCGCUGGUAUGACUGCGGGUUUAGACCAGACCUGGUUCCGACCGGCGUGUGCUGACUGGCACGCCCUUCCCCCUCCCCUGCAACGUCAUCCAAUGCAGGGCAUGUCUACACCGGCUUUGCACUCCAAUAAACUUCGCCAGCUCCUCCAUUGCUGACAUUAGGUUACAUACCACAUCACGAGAGCUGCGGCACCAGUCAGGCCACGGGAGCCCACUUGCACGCAAGCGAGAGUCUUUUGCCCGCCGAGGUCCUGGCGCAUAUUGCAUGCUACACGGCUCGCUAUAACUCACAAGUCCCUAACCGACGUGAACUAUCGUGUGCUCGUCUGCAAAUGGAGCCCGAGAUGCCUGCAAUCCUCCCGAAUUUGCCGAACUCUGUGCUCACUUCAAUCUUCAACAAAAUUAUAAGGAUAUCCAAUCCCGGCCAGCUCGUCAAGCUUUCGCUGGUGCGAUUCGGGCCAGCGCGCCCCUCCUCCUCGCUGGGCACACUCAGUCCUCAGCCACGGUCCACUCUGUGCUGACACUGUUGCCGCCAGCUGCCAUCAACAAGCUACGCUCCCCGUCGCAGGCAUGUCGCAGCCUGCGUGAAGCGGUCGUUCGCGCCGAGGGGCUGUGGGAGCGGCUCUGUGUCAAGCAAGGAUGGAGGUGCGGGCACAACACGCCUGCUGCAGUCUGGUGCCCUUGAUUCGUUGUCACCUAACGAACUAGCGCGUGUGUGCGUCUCUGCGACCCCUUGUGCAGCCAACGCCAGCGCCUGCCUCGGCCGCUGCCGCCGCUCGAGUUAGCGCAACCGGGACCUGAGGAGGCCGGCAGCAGCGUAGGUGGCGGUGGAGGCACCGCUACUGCUGGUGCUACAGCCACCGCCCCUGCCGCCACGCCAGCGGCGCAGAGCCUGCCCCUGUCCCUGUCGGACCUGGACCUGCACUGGUACCUGUACUAUGCCCGACGCAUGAUGCUGCGGCGCGACGUGCGGUGAGGCCUUGGGGGCGUGAGGGGGCGGGCGUGCGGCUUAGGGUGAUCACCGGUGGGACGGGAAGGGCGUGGCGCUGCGGCGGUUGACAGGAGGACAGCAGAUGACCAUGACCUUGGCACCGCGGUGCGCCAUCAAGCACUCGCCUCGCAGGCGAUCAGUUGCACCCAGGCAAAUCCUACCCACGCGCGCUGCCCCCGCCCCCAGGCGCCUGUUCAAGCUGUACGAGCGCUUCAUGUCGCGGCCUGGCAGCAUGGCGCUGUGCCCGGGUGGGUCGGGUGGGUGACCGUGGGUGGGUGGGCCAGUGCGCGAGAUGGCGAGUGGGCGGGCUAGCGCACUGCGUAUGUGCCGUGCCGCAUAUAACUGAUAUGCAGCAAUAGGUUUACUUGGUGAUCGCCGGUCCUGCCUUGCGUGAUUUAAGGUAGUUUUUGACGUACCUGUAGUUCCUUGAUGUCUGCACACGCUGCCGCCCAGUCCACAUCCGCACGGCCACACCCCUCCUUGGCACGCACCCGAGGUGCUCCCCCGGCGGCUCUCCUCCGGAGUGUGCAGGGGCGUCGCCGGAGGAUUUGGCCGCGGCGGAGCAGGCGCUGGGGCUGGCGGGCGGUGCCGGCAGCGCCGGAGGCGGCAGUGGCGGCAGUGGCGGCGGUGGCGGCGGUGGCGGCGGUGGCGGCGGUGGCGGCGGUGGCGGCGGUGGCGGCGGUGGCGGCGGUGGCGGCGGUGGCGGAGGCGGGCUGCCUGCCGAGGUGUGGGAGCUGUACCGGCACCGCAGCGGCCAGGCGCCGGGGGCGUUCGUGACGUUCGUGGACGACAUGCGGCUACUGGGUGGGUGCGGGCUGAAAGGGGAGGGCAGGCCAUGAACUGACCUCCGGGCCACUCGUCUAGUCCUCUUGCACAUCGCGAAAGUGUAGGGAAUGCCUUGUCCUAUUUACAUACCGUACAGCCCCAACGCACUUCCUCAACGUCGCCGCCGCCGCGCCCAGGCCUCCACGAGCUGGCCGUGGAGGCGGCGCCGGGGCUGCCGGAGCUGCAGCAGCGGCUGGCGGCACUGGGCAGGCAGCACAGCCCGCAGCCGCAGCGCCCGGCACUGCCCGCAGCCGCAGCCGCAGCCUCCACCGCCGGCCCGGCGGCAGCCGGAGGGGAAGCAGCUGCCUCCACCGCCGCUGCAGCAGCAGCAGCAGUAUCAGAAUCGGCCUCAGCAGUAGCGCCAGCUGCACCCGCACGCACGCGGCCCGGCGGCGACUCGCAAGGGGCGCAGCAGCCAGAGCCGCAUGCGGCGCCAGCAGCCGGGGGCGGCACGGCCGGUGGCCCAGGCGGCCCGGUGCAGCCCACAGGCCUCGUGCCCGGGAGUGACACCUACGGCAGUGGCAGCGGCAGCGGCAGUGGCACCGCCGGCGGUGUGGUUUCGCCGGCAGGCGGCGGCGGGGCGCUGCUGGCAGGGGGCCGCCCGCAGCUUGACCCGCUGUCAGAUGAGCGGGUGGUGGCCAUCGCCGCCAACGCCAGCGGCUCGCGGCGCUUCCUGGUGGCGGUGGGCACAGGCCACGUCUACAUCGCCCGAGGUAGGGAUGGGAGGAGCUGGUCUGGCGGCUGGCUGGUCUGGCGGCUGGCUGGGGUGGUGUGGUGGUGGUCUGGUGGCGGCUGGCUCCGUGGGUGGGAACAGCACCUGUGUUCGUUGUUAUGUCCUAGCCAGGCCCCUUUGUCACCAACGGUUUCGCCCCCGCUCCCCCGCAUGAUCCCGCCUGGCUCAGGCCUGUCGCUCGUCUUCUACGCGCCCGGCGUGGCGGCGCUGCUGCAGAAGCUGCUGACCUAGGGCCGGCGGGUGCGCACCAGUGGCGGGGUGUGAGGCGGGCGGCGCCGGCAGGUGUGUCGACACGGCGGCGGGGCGACACAGCGUGCCGCCGCGAGCCCCACGGGAGAGCACACGCACUGUGCAGCAUAGCAGCGGAGGAGCGUAGCCUAUGCCAGGCUACCUAGCGGCCUGUUCAGGUCUGGAUUGCGUGCGGGUGGGGCGCAGCGCCUGGGCGAAGGGAGGCUGAGGCCCCCGGUUAUCCCCGAGACCCGAGAACAUGUAAACACCGCGGACGACAAUCAAGAGGCAGGCUGAUGUGAUGGUAACGUAACGGAUUUGUUAGGUCAGGGGCAGAGAAGUUGUUACCAGGUUAAGAGUGUGUUGCCGGGGGCAUGUCGGCGAGCAAGGGUGGAGUUGUCGGGACCCUUGAGGGGGAAAGUGCGGGAUUUGCUCAUGCGGCGUGCCAAGCCCAGGUCGUGUAACCGCCGCUUGCCUUCCACAGCCAAAUCUUCAUUCAUUGUCAACAUUUUACAGACCUGGACAUAUAGCACAACUCUAGCGGUUGUGGGUCCGCUUCCUUUCGUGUCGAGAACCGAAUCAACAACGACUCCUUUUACAAACACGCUAGCCUUCGGGGCACCGCGCCAGCAUGCAUAGCCCAUUAAGCCCGUCAGGGCUGGGCACACAACGCUCGCCGGUGGCUCGCGGUCGCGGUCGCAAGCAUGUCGCCGGAGUCGUGAAAGGAGCGGGGCCUAUGAGCCCGCGACACAUGUCCAAGCAAGCAUUUUACAUGGUAAAAUGCACAAUGCGUUCAGGGAUACUACUUGAUGCUGCGGACGCCAUGCGGGGGAUGCUGAAGCGUCGCGAGCUUAGUUUUGUAGCGCCUGCACAGCCUUAAACAUGCAGCCUUGAAAAUUCUGGUUAUGGGCAGUGCCGGCUCGGCUCCGCAUGGCCGCGCCCGCCCUUGUUCCUCGAGACGCUUUGCUUUAUGCCGAGCGCUGUCGCAGCAAUAUGGGGAUGUGUUCAGAUACAUAAUGGGCAUAGUUGACGACCGACCCAGCUGUUCGUCGCUCGCCGGGCAAGUGCUGCUAACACUAGCUACACACUCACAUGUGCAAGCAUCCUGGCCGAACCGCUGCAGCACGCGCUGCCGGAAUCCUGUGUACGUGUUAAGCACCAUCAUGUCCCUUAUACGCGCAGAGUCCGACACGUGGCCCUUCUGCAACGCCUGCGGCGACCGGGCCGGGUGCCGAGGGUGCGGGGCUGGACAUUGCCGCACUGUUCCGGAGGGUUUUGAGCAACGGUGUCCAGGUGCGGGGCCAUUUCGGGUUGACGGCGCUGGUGGGGGGGCUGGACACGGAUGGGUUGUGUUGGUACCCGCGACAGCGCGGGUUGAGCAACGAGUGCCCGGGUUUACGGUACACGCGCGCGUCGAUCGGCCACACAGGCUGUUGUAAGGGUGGCCGUGCUGUCGCAGGCUGCACAGCAGCGCAGUGCCCACGUGUCAGGCCGCUGUGCUGCCAGGUCGCUGCAGCGUCAAUGACAUUUACGCAUAAUGCGGUCGCAUCAUGGCCACACAGGCCCCUCGGGAAAGGUUUGCCAGCUCCCCGUCCUUUCAACCGCCCCCCGUUGCCCCCGCCCUCUCCCGUGCCAUCCAUGCACUCCCCCAACAGGAUGACAGCGCCGUGGCAGCCUCCGCUCCGCACACCGUCACGGCUGCUGACGCCUACGCCCACACCGCCGCCCAGUACGGCAUGCCGCCGGGGCCCUUCGCCUCCACCGCCACCUCCGCCUUCUCCAGCGGCGCCGGCGGCGGCGGCGCGCAGCCGCUGGCGUCCCUGGCAGACCAGGUUCUGGCAGACGCCGCCGCCGCCGCCCACGGCGAGGACCCGGUGGCGGCGGCCCGGCAGCUGCAGUCCUUCCUGGGCCAGUACCAGCACCAGUACGGCGCGGAGACGGACGCGCGCAUCGGCGCCGCCAUCGCCAAGCUGCAGGACUACAUCGACGGCGCCGCCGCCGGAGGCGGCGGCGGCAGCGCCGCCGGCCUGCGGGACGCGCUCGGCGCCUUUGGCGCCGCCGACACGUCAGCGUCGGCGGCGGCGGCAGCCGCCGCCACUGGCGCCGCCGCCGGCGCCUCCGGCGGCGGUGGCGAGGCCCCCGUGUACCACAACUACAUCCUGGAGCAGCUGACGGGGGUGUUGGACUGGGUAAACAACCUGCUGGUGAGGAACGGCACGCCCAAGCCGUUCGUGUACGACGCCUACGGGCGGGUGGUGGAGGACGCGGGCGCGGCGGCCUCGGUGGAGCAGCAGCAGGAGCAGCUGCGCGCGGCGUCGCAGUCGCUGCGGCUGCUCAUCCAGCAGCUGCAGCAGGUGUGGGGGAGCGGGAGGGGGCGGAGGCAGGGGCCCCCGGGGGUGUUGUCCUGGAGUUGGAUUGUCGACAAGGUCAGGGCAGGGUGUGUGCACUUGGGCCUGCUGGGUCGCCGCCUAGCCAGGCUGCCGUUGGUGGGGUUGCCGAAGGUCUGGGGUCGCAUGGCACUAAGGUGCGGAGGGCGGGUUGCCGGCUUUUUGGUGGCUAAGGCGGCGUGACAUCCCAAACCCCAGCGCAACCCAACCCACCCUUCAUCACCGCCUCCCCCCCCCACACACACCCAGGUGAACACCCAGUACGCGGCCAUGGCCGACAGCGAGGAGCGCGCCACCAUGGGCCAGGUGCUGACGCAGCUCAACACCAUGGCGGACCGCCUGGCGGUGGCAGCCACCCGCCGCCCGCUGCCGCACCUGGAGCCCGGCGCCGCGGUGGGGCUGGACCUGGCGCCCUACGUGCCGCCGGAGCAGGUACAGGAGGUAACUCCUGACGCGAGCUGCUGCGUGUAGGGGAGGAGGGGGCUGCAUGGCGUGCCGGGGCGUGUCCGUAACCCUGCAGCCGUGUCGCUGAAUUCGACCUCCCUCACCUGACCAGUCCACUUGGCCUGCGCCGCCCCUCACCGUGCCUCCCCAUCUCUCUGCCCUCCCCAUCUCUCUGCCCUCCCCUCCCCCCCCCUCCCCUGCAGCUGUACGGCGUGGACAAGUACCGCGACCCGGUGCUGCGUGUGCUGGACGGCAUCUACAGCGCCGUGGUGGUGGACAGCGGCCUGCGCGAGUUCCUGGCGGGAGUCAAGCAGCUGGGCGACAGCCUGGCGGACAGCAUGGCCGUGGUGGGUGCCGGGGGGGGGGCGGGGCGGCAGUGUGCUGCAUGAGCGCGGUAGGACGUUUGAUAGGCUGGUAGGGGCCGCGGGACAAGGGAGCGUGUGUGGGGUAGGAUGUCGGUAGGGGGCACACGCCAACACGCGUGAUAGGCUUUGCAGUAGCCCCACCACACCACACUGCAUACCCUCACAUGCACACCGCUCUACGGUGCCCUUUUGCUGCCCUCUGUUCACCCUGCGCCCGCUUUCGCAAACGCGCACGCGUGCGCGCACACAGGCGUGGACGGGCGCUCCUCCUGUGGGCCGCCUGGUCGCCUACAUCGCGGCGGUGGCGGGCGUGCUGUUCGUGAUGCGCUCCAAGCUGCCCAGGGCGCUGCUGCAGCCCACCUCGCCCGGCGGCAGCUGGCUGCAGCAGCUGGGCGGCGGCCGCGGCGACAACCCCCUCCACGACGGCGGCGCAAACACCAGCAGCAGCACCGGCACCGGCAGCAGCAGCGUGAUGGGGUUGGUGGAAGCGCCGGGCACCUUCGCCUCUCUGGGCGGCAGCGCGCGCACGGCGCAGAGUCGGCUGGCGGGCAUGGACCGCGACGGCGGGCUGGGCGACACGCGGCUGCCGUCCGAGGUGCUGGCCUCGGGCGACCCCUACGCGGCACGCAAGGUGCUGUUCGACACCACAGCCUCAUCCGUGCCCUCCGGCGGAGGCAGCAGCAUCGCCGGCGGCCAGGCGGCGUCCGUGGCGGCGGCGGGGCGGCAGCGCAGCGCGGCGGCGGCGGUGGCCACGCCGGCGUUGCCAGGCGGCGGCAAUGGUGCCGGCCAGUACUCGAGCGGCAGCAUCCCCAGCCUGCCCAAGCCGCCCCCCGGCGGCUGGAACAGCAACUACAGCGACCGCGCGGACUGGUGGACCGCCGGCCAGACGGCACAGCAGCAGCAGCCGCCAGCAGCUGCGGCGCCGCCGCCACCACCGCCGCAGCCCCGCACUGUGGCGGAGUCCUGGGAGGCCUUCCGCCGCAGCACCGGCGGCCUCGGCGCUAGCGCCGAGCCCGCCUCCUCGGCCUCGUACUCCGCCGCCGCCAACCCCUCCGGCGGCGUGCUGGACGCCACCGCCGCGCUGGCGGCGGCCGCGGUCGCCGCCGCCGUGGGCAACAGCACCGGCGCCCCCGGCGGCGGCCGCGGCGGCCCCGGCGACCCCAAGCUGGCGGAGUUCAGUCGCGCCACUGAGGAGAAGCGCAUCGGCCGCGACCGGGCGCGGGUGCGCGCCACCAUCAAGGACCGGCUGCGCUGGCUGGUGCGCGCGCUGGGCCCCGUCACCAGCGUGGUGCCGGGCGGCGAGCCGCUGCGCGAGGAGGUGGACGGCCUGCUGUCGCAGCUGGAGGCGCUGUCGCCCACCGACAAGCCGCUCAACACCAGCGUGGACGCAGCCGCUGCCGGCUACGGCGGCGCCGCCUACGGCGGCGGUAGCGCUGGUGGUUAUGGUGCGGGUGGGUACGGGUACGGGGCCGUGCGGGCGCCUGCGGCGUCCGUGGACCCCGACCUGCUGGGCGAGUGGCGGCUGGUGUACGCCUCCAACGCCGGCUCGGCAGCGGGCGCGCCGUCGGCCGCCUCGCAGGCGGCCAGCGGCGGUCCCAACCUGCUGGCGCAGGUGCUGCAGCUGGCCGACUCGCUGCCGGGCUUCGGCAUGACGCACGUGCUGCAGCGCCUGUCGCUGGAGGAGACAGCAGCAGGCGGCGCCGCGCCCGCCUACGCCGCCUCCAGCGCCGCGUACGGCGCCGCUGGCGCGGCUGCGCCGCACUCGGCGGCGGUGGUGGUGACGGAGAACAGCGCGGUAUUCCGGUUCGGGCCGCUGGGCUCGUGGCGCGUGACGGUGAAGGGGCGCUGGAUGGACAACGGCGGCGGCAUGUGCGCGGCGGCGGAGUUCGAGUCGUUCGGCGUGCGGCCGGUGGACCUGUGGGGGCUGUCGGUGGAGGCGCUGCUGCCCGAGGUGACGGUGCCGGUGCCUGAGGUCCUGCGCAGCCGCAGCGAGUGGUGCACCACCUACCUGGAUGAGGACAUGCGGGUGGGGCGCGGCAGCGGCGGCGCGCUGUUCCUGUUCCGGCGCGGCGGCGCGGACGACGUCACCGAGGCGGCGGGCGCCAUGGGCGGCAGCCUGGGUGCGGGCUCCGGCAUGGGCAUGGGCUUGGGCGUGGGCUUGGGCGCGGUGGCUGCGGAUGCCCGCGCGCCGGUGAUGCGGCCGCUGUGAGGCGCGUGGGAGGAGGGGCGGGUGGCAGGAGGGAAGUGGAGCCUGGCGGCCGGCGCCGCGGGUGUGUAGCGGUGUGCCCGUGUGUGUGCGGGUGCGUGUACGUGUACGUGUACGUGUACGUGUACGUGUACGUGUACGUGUACGUGUACGUGUGUGUGUGUGUGUGUGUGUGUGUGUGUGUGUGUGUACAUGUGUGUGUGUGUGUACAUGUGUGUGUACAUGUGUGUGUACAUGUGUGUGUACAUGUGUGUGUACAUGUGUGUGUACAUGUGUGUGUACAUGUGUGUGUACAUGUGUGUACCUGUGUGUACAUGUGUGUACAUGUGUGUGUGUGUGUUGAGGUGGGCAUGGUGUGGCUGUGUGGGCGAGGAGGAGCACAGCGCUUCCAUCCGGCACUUGUGAGACAUGUCACAAUUUAUCAUCAUUUUAUCGCGGCAGGCAGUCCUAUGCAUGAGCAAUUCAUGGCGGUGCGCAUGGCGUGGAAUGGAGUGAAUUGAUGUUGUCAGGGGGCUGGUUGCAAUGGCCGAUACCGGUACCUGUGGUCCUGUGCGUCUCUGCGUGUCCUGUACAGUGUAUUCCCCCAAAUGGAUAGGGAGGGCAUGGUUGCAGGCCUGGCCAGAUCAGGUGUCUGGGUUUUAUCCCUCGCCUGCGUGUGCGUGCUUGUAUCUAACUGUACCACUUCAAUUAGGUCAAGGUUACCUGGCCCCUGUAGAGACGUGGAGGCUCAGACAAUAAGACAAUUGGUCUUAGCUCAAUGCAAACAGUGCAAAGAUUGAUUACAUUUGCUGAGUCUGCUUGUGGACAGAGAGAUGUGCGGUGUGAGGACUGUCGGCAGGAGCAUUGAUAGUAUGACAGUGGAGCGUGAAGAGGGAGAGGGACGGAGGGAGGCUGCGUGGUGCUGGCAGAGGGACGGAGGACGAGGUGGGCACCAUGCGGCCUUUGCAAUGCAUUCAAAGCUUCGCCCAAAGCCUUAACUUAUCAGGAUACCGUAUUGCUUGAAGCAGGAGUGCCGUCGCUGGUCACGCAACUUAAGAGAACUGCAGGGAAACAAGCAUCGAACCGGGGGUCGUGAUGGAGGCAUAGAUUUUGCUCUUGCGGCUCCUCGGGCGCCUGGUACACAGGGACACUUUAUCAGUGCACGAUAGCUAUAAGACGAAACAAUAUGGUGGUUUGCCUCGGUGCAGAGAACAGCAGUGCUGACAACUGAGCGCUCCCAAUUGUUGCCUUCUCUCCUACUGGAACUAUGACCGAGCCAAGCACCAGUGGCAAGCGCCAUAGAGAGGAUGAAGGUGUUGGAAACCUCGGCUGGCUGGCGAGCAGCGGUAUGCUGCCUCGCAAGCGGCAAGACAUUUCGGGAGUCGGCAAUGCGAGCAUUAUGGAGCUACAAGCACAACUUUAUCGCACGCAAGAAAAUGUGAAAUUGAAAGCAAGUGGCGUCGAGGUCCCCGACCGGCGAACUUCGGGGUUCAACGUCGCAUCGCUUAUGCAGCGACGAAACACGGGCGUGGAAGAGCGCGAUCGACGGGACAAGCUUGAAGUCAAGGUGAGGCGGGGUCUGGGAGUCCGCAAAUGCGACGUAGGGGCGGUGCUACGCUUGACGCGGACACUGGCCUCAGCAGUUCUGGACGACGCCCCGCGCGGUUUCCCCUCCACGCCCCUCCCGCACAGACCACCGCUGACCGCGUCGGGGAGUGUUACGCCGCGCUAGAGCGCAAGGCGCAACUAUACGAGAAACUAGGUAGGCGCUGCGACUGCUGCAGCCGUGCGCCGUGAACAAUGCCACACGGCACCACUGCCAUCCCUACCCCGCCAUUCCACCACGGCCACGUUGCACACCCCUCGCCGUCGAUGUAUGCGGACUCGCACAGGCUGUCCAGCUCGCCAUCUUCCACACGGCUACCAUAUGCCUGUACAAACUCCCUCGACCCUUUGCCAGCCCUAUCUACCCAUUGAUCGCUGUGCUUCUGCUCGACCGCUGUUCCGCUGCUGUUGCUGCUGCUGCUGCUACUGCUGCUGCUGCCGCAGCUCGCGGCGAGUUGGACGACGAGGGCGAGCAGUACGAGGUGGACUUCCUGCGCAAGGGCGGGGCGGCGGAGGAGGAGGCGGGUGGAGGCGAGGGCCGGCGCGGCGGCGACCUGGUGGACACCAUGCUGCAGGCAGUGUCGGGGACAGGUGAGGCGGGGGCGGAUGGGGGCAAGGAGUCCACGGGCCUUGUAGUCGGACUGCCCGAGCCGCCACCCUGACGGAGAGGGUCAACAAGUGUGUGCUGCGGCUGACCUGUCGGCAGAGCGUGUUGCUGCUGUUCGGCGCUCGGCCCGCGGGAUCUCACCACCCUCAGCCCCCGCCGCUGCUCGGCUGCAACCAUUGAGGCAGGACAGCAAGGGUUUAGGCAGGGUAGUAUGGACUGAGGCAGGGUAAUGCGGACUGGGCAAGGCAACCACCCGACACAUAGCGUGUCCCGGUCUAUUGUAUUCUUCUCUUGUGCGGAGACCGCACGUCUGAACCGCUCCUACUCCGCGCUGCACUUGCGCUCCUGACCACCUCCUGGCCACCUGUCGGCAUGCGGCCCCGCACACAGGCGGCAUGAUGACUGCGGACAUGGCGCGGGAACGGGAGCGGCGCGACUGGGAGCGGGACCAGCAGCGCAUCAUGGCGGACGAGGAGGCGGAGGAGCGGAGGCGGAAGCAGAAAGAGGUGCGUCCAACACAAGCGGAGGUCGGGGACCAAUGGCACCAUUGUUGUAUGCUGUUUAACCCGGGUUACCCUAUGCCGGCGAUGCUGCCUGUGAGCAGUUGAUAAGCAGUGCCUAACCUGCGGUGGCACGUCGUCGCAUGCGGUUUGCACAGGCGCUGCUUUGGCUUGUGGGGGCUGUCGGUGGAGGCGCUGCUGCCCGAGGUGACGGUGCCGGUGCCUGAGGUCCUGCGCAGCCGCAGCGAGUGGUGCACCACCUACCUGGAUGAGGACAUGCGGGUGGGGCGCGGCAGCGGCGGCGCGCUGUUCCUGUUCCGGCGCGGCGGCGCGGACGACGUCACCGAGGCGGCGGGCGCCAUGGGCGGCAGCCUGGGUGCGGGCUCCGGCAUGGGCAUGGGCUUGGGCGUGGGCUUGGGCGCGGUGGCUGCGGAUGCCCGCGCGCCGGUGAUGCGGCCGCUGUGAGGCGCGUGGGAGGAGGGGCGGGUGGCAGGAGGGAAGUGGAGCCUGGCGGCCGGCGCCGCGGGUGUGUAGCGGUGUGCCCGUGUGUGUGCGGGUGCGUGUACGUGUACGUGUACGUGUACGUGUACGUGUACGUGUACGUGUACGUGUACGUGUACGUGUGUGUGUGUGUGUGUGUGUGUGUGUACAUGUGUGUGUGUCUACAUGUGUGUGUACAUGUGUGUGUACAUGUGUGUGUACAUGUGUGUACCUGUGUGUACAUGUGUGUACAUGUGUGUGUGUGUGUUGAGGUGGGCAUGGUGUGGCUGUGUGGGCGAGGAGGAGCACAGCGCUUCCAUCCGGCACUUGUGAGACAUGUCACAAUUUAUCAUCAUUUUAUCGCGGCAGGCAGUCCUAUGCAUGAGCAAUUCAUGGCGGUGCGCAUGGCGUGGAAUGGAGUGAAUUGAUGUUGUCAGGGGGCUGGUUGCAAUGGCCGAUACCGGUACCUGUGGUCCUGUGCGUCUCUGCGUGUCCUGUACAGUGUAUUCCCCCAAAUGGAUAGGGAGGGCAUGGUUGCAGGCCUGGCCAGAUCAGGUGUCUGGGUUUUAUCCCUCGCCUGCGUGUGCGUGCUUGUAUCUAACUGUACCACUUNNNNNNNNNNNNNNNNNNNNNNNNNNNNNNNNNNNNNNNNNNNNNNNNNNNNNNNNNNNNNNNNNNNNNNNNNNNNNNNNNNNNNNNNNNNNNNNNNNNNACGCGGACACUGGCCUCAGCAGUUCUGGACGACGCCCCGCGCGGUUUCCCCUCCACGCCCCUCCCGCACAGACCACCGCUGACCGCGUCGGGGAGUGUUACGCCGCGCUAGAGCGCAAGGCGCAACUAUACGAGAAACUAGGUAGGCGCUGCGACUGCUGCAGCCGUGCGCCGUGAACAAUGCCACACGGCACCACUGCCAUCCCUACCCCGCCAUUCCACCACGGCCACGUUGCACACCCCUCGCCGUCGAUGUAUGCGGACUCGCACAGGCUGUCCAGCUCGCCAUCUUCCACACGGCUACCAUAUGCCUGUACAAACUCCCUCGACCCUUUGCCAGCCCUAUCUACCCAUUGAUCGCUGUGCUUCUGCUCGACCGCUGUUCCGCUGCUGUUGCUGCUGCUGCUGCUACUGCUGCUGCUGCCGCAGCUCGCGGCGAGUUGGACGACGAGGGCGAGCAGUACGAGGUGGACUUCCUGCGCAAGGGCGGGGCGGCGGAGGAGGAGGCGGGUGGAGGCGAGGGCCGGCGCGGCGGCGACCUGGUGGACACCAUGCUGCAGGCAGUGUCGGGGACAGGUGAGGCGGGGGCGGAUGGGGGCAAGGAGUCCACGGGCCUUGUAGUCGGACUGCCCGAGCCGCCACCCUGACGGAGAGGGUCAACAAGUGUGUGCUGCGGCUGACCUGUCGGCAGAGCGUGUUGCUGCUGUUCGGCGCUCGGCCCGCUGGAUCUCACCACCCUCAGCCCCCGCCGCUGCUCGGCUGCAACCAUUGAGGCAGGACAGCAAGGGUUUAGGCAGGGUAGUAUGGACUGAGGCAGGGUAAUGCGGACUGGGCAAGGCAACCACCCGACACAUAGCGUGUCCCGGUCUAUUGUAUUCUUCUCUUGUGCGGAGACCGCACGUCUGAACCGCUCCUACUCCGCGCUGCACUUGCGCUCCUGACCACCUCCUGGCCACCUGUCGGCAUGCGGCCCCGCACACAGGCGGCAUGAUGACUGCGGACAUGGCGCGGGAACGGGAGCGGCGCGACUGGGAGCGGGACCAGCAGCGCAUCAUGGCGGACGAGGAGGCGGAGGAGCGGAGGCGGAAGCAGAAAGAGGUGCGUCCAACACAAGCGGAGGUCGGGGACCAAUGGCACCAUUGUUGUAUGCUGUUUAACCCGGGUUACCCUAUGCCGGCGAUGCUGCCUGUGAGCAGUUGAUAAGCAGUGCCUAACCUGCGGUGGCACGUCGUCGCAUGCGGUUUGCACAGGCGCUGCUUUGGCUUGUGGGGGCUGUCGGUGGAGGCGCUGCUGCCCGAGGUGACGGUGCCGGUGCCUGAGGUCCUGCGCAGCCGCAGCGAGUGGUGCACCACCUACCUGGAUGAGGACAUGCGGGUGGGGCGCGGCAGCGGCGGCGCGCUGUUCCUGUUCCGGCGCGGCGGCGCGGACGACGUCACCGAGGCGGCGGGCGCCAUGGGCGGCAGCCUGGGUGCGGGCUCCGGCAUGGGCAUGGGCUUGGGCGUGGGCUUGGGCGCGGUGGCUGCGGAUGCCCGCGCGCCGGUGAUGCGGCCGCUGUGAGGCGCGUGGGAGGAGGGGCGGGUGGCAGGAGGGAAGUGGAGCCUGGCGGCCGGCGCCGCGGGUGUGUAGCGGUGUGCCCGUGUGUGUGCGGGUGCGUGUACGUGUACGUGUACGUGUACGUGUACGUGUACGUGUACGUGUACGUGUACGUGUACGUGUACGUGUACGUGUACGUGUACGUGUGUGUGUGUGUGUGUGUGUGUGUGUGUGUGUGUGUACAUGUGUGUGUGUACAUGUGUGUGUACAUGUGUGUGUACAUGUGUGUGUACAUGUGUGUACCUGUGUGUACAUGUGUGUACAUGUGUGUGUGUGUGUGUGUGUUGAGGUGGGCAUGGUGUGGCUGUGUGGGCGAGGAGGAGCACAGCGCUUCCAUCCGGCACUUGUGAGACAUGUCACAAUUUAUCAUCAUUUUAUCGCGGCAGGCAGUCCUAUGCAUGAGCAAUUCAUGGCGGUGCGCAUGGCGUGGAAUGGAGUGAAUUGAUGUUGUCAGGGGGCUGGUUGCAAUGGCCGAUACCGGUACCUGUGGUCCUGUGCGUCUCUGCGUGUCCUGUACAGUGUAUUCCCCCAAAUGGAUAGGGAGGGCAUGGUUGCAGGCCUGGCCAGAUCAGGUGUCUGGGUUUUAUCCCUCGCCUGCGUGUGCGUGCUUGUAUCUAACUGUACCACUUCAAUUAGGUCAAGGUUACCUGGCCCCUGUAGAGACGUGGAGGCUCAGACAAUAAGACAAUUGGUCUUAGCUCAAUGCAAACAGUGCAAAGAUUGAUUACAUUUGCUGAGUCUGCUUGUGGACAGAGAGAUGUGCGGUGUGAGGACUGUCGGCAGGAGCAUUGAUAGUAUGACAGUGGAGCGUGAAGAGGGAGAGGGACGGAGGGAGGCUGCGUGGUGCUGGCAGAGGGACGGAGGACGAGGUGGGCACCAUGCGGCCUUUGCAAUGCAUUCAAAGCUUCGCCCAAAGCCUUAACUUAUCAGGAUACCGUAUUGCUUGAAGCAGGAGUGCCGUCGCUGGUCACGCAACUUAAGAGAACUGCAGGGAAACAAGCAUCGAACCGGGGGUCGUGAUGGAGGCAUAGAUUUUGCUCUUGCGGCUCCUCGGGCGCCUGGUACACAGGGACACUUUAUCAGUGCACGAUAGCUAUAAGACGAAACAAUAUGGUGGUUUGCCUCGGUGCAGAGAACAGCAGUGCUGACAACUGAGCGCUCCCAAUUGUUGCCUUCUCUCCUACUGGAACUAUGACCGAGCCAAGCACCAGUGGCAAGCGCCAUAGAGAGGAUGAAGGUGUUGGAAACCUCGGCUGGCUGGCGAGCAGCGGUAUGCUGCCUCGCAAGCGGCAAGACAUUUCGGGAGUCGGCAAUGCGAGCAUUAUGGAGCUACAAGCACAACUUUAUCGCACGCAAGAAAAUGUGAAAUUGAAAGCAAGUGGCGUCGAGGUCCCCGACCGGCGAACUUCGGGGUUCAACGUCGCAUCGCUUAUGCAGCGACGAAACACGGGCGUGGAAGAGCGCGAUCGACGGGACAAGCUUGAAGUCAAGGUGAGGCGGGGUCUGGGAGUCCGCAAAUGCGACGUAGGGGCGGUGCUACGCUUGACGCGGACACUGGCCUCAGCAGUUCUGGACGACGCCCCGCGCGGUUUCCCCUCCACGCCCCUCCCGCACAGACCACCGCUGACCGCGUCGGGGAGUGUUACGCCGCGCUAGAGCGCAAGGCGCAACUAUACGAGAAACUAGGUAGGCGCUGCGACUGCUGCAGCCGUGCGCCGUGAACAAUGCCACACGGCACCACUGCCAUCCCUACCCCGCCAUUCCACCACGGCCACGUUGCACACCCCUCGCCGUCGAUGUAUGCGGACUCGCACAGGCUGUCCAGCUCGCCAUCUUCCACACGGCUACCAUAUGCCUGUACAAACUCCCUCGACCCUUUGCCAGCCCUAUCUACCCAUUGAUCGCUGUGCUUCUGCUCGACCGCUGUUCCGCUGCUGUUGCUGCUGCUGCUGCUACUGCUGCUGCUGCCGCAGCUCGCGGCGAGUUGGACGACGAGGGCGAGCAGUACGAGGUGGACUUCCUGCGCAAGGGCGGGGCGGCGGAGGAGGAGGCGGGUGGAGGCGAGGGCCGGCGCGGCGGCGACCUGGUGGACACCAUGCUGCAGGCAGUGUCGGGGACAGGUGAGGCGGGGGCGGAUGGGGGCAAGGAGUCCACGGGCCUUGUAGUCGGACUGCCCGAGCCGCCACCCUGACGGAGAGGGUCAACAAGUGUGUGCUGCGGCUGACCUGUCGGCAGAGCGUGUUGCUGCUGUUCGGCGCUCGGCCCGCGGGAUCUCACCACCCUCAGCCCCCGCCGCUGCUCGGCUGCAACCAUUGAGGCAGGACAGCAAGGGUUUAGGCAGGGUAGUAUGGACUGAGGCAGGGUAAUGCGGACUGGGCAAGGCAACCACCCGACACAUAGCGUGUCCCGGUCUAUUGUAUUCUUCUCUUGUGCGGAGACCGCACGUCUGAACCGCUCCUACUCCGCGCUGCACUUGCGCUCCUGACCACCUCCUGGCCACCUGUCGGCAUGCGGCCCCGCACACAGGCGGCAUGAUGACUGCGGACAUGGCGCGGGAACGGGAGCGGCGCGACUGGGAGCGGGACCAGCAGCGCAUCAUGGCGGACGAGGAGGCGGAGGAGCGGAGGCGGAAGCAGAAAGAGGUGCGUCCAACACAAGCGGAGGUCGGGGACCAAUGGCACCAUUGUUGUAUGCUGUUUAACCCGGGUUACCCUAUGCCGGCGAUGCUGCCUGUGAGCAGUUGAUAAGCAGUGCCUAACCUGCGGUGGCACGUCGUCGCAUGCGGUUUGCACAGGCGCUGCUUUGGCUGGGCGAGCAAACGCGCGAGGAGCGGCAGCGCGCCGAAGCGGUCAAGGUGCGCAAGGAGGAGGCGGUGCGCUCCAAGCGCGAGGAGCUCAAAGCCAAGUUCCUCCGGGAUCAGGUGGCCAAGAAGCUGGCGGGCGCAGGCGCGAAGGCGGUCGGCGGAAAGAAGUCAUGAGGAGGCGGGUGGAGGGGCGUGUGGUGCGGCGCUGCUGUAAGACGGUGACGGGAGACCUGGCCAUGGCGGCAGCGGAGGAGCACGCCAGCGAGGUUUUCCGCGUAAUGGUUGCAGUAGACGAGCUGUGCAUCAUGUACGCUUGCGGCUGCCUUUGACCUGCCUGCUCUGAAGCUCAGGGGCAGGUCUCGGUCUCUGGUGCCGGACAGGAGGCGCCGUGCCGGCAUGCCGGGUGUGCACCUGGCGGUGGGUCUACUUCACUCUUCCCUCAUACCUGCACGCCUCCAAUUUUACCAGUGUGUACACGAGUAUGUGAAAAGGAGAGCCCAAAGGCUGGGUAAUCACUGGGGACCGAUGUCACCAUCGCGGGCGGGAGUGCAAAUUCUCAGAGCCCGCAGUCUCUCUUAUUUUAGCCGCCCUGAGAGCCAGGGCAACCAUACCGUUUAGCCUGCACUAGGCGGGGCAACAAGGAUGCGGUCGCUGAAGCAAAUCCUGCGCAUCGGCGAGGCUAGCUCGCUCGGUCUGCGCGCGUUCGGCAGCGCUGCCAAGGAUGUAGUGGCUACUGAUGCCAACCCUUUCCUGCGCUUCAGCAACCCCCGCCCCAGCCCCAUCGACCACACGCCCCUGCUGAGCACGCUUCCGGAGACCCGGGUGGGUGCAGCGCGGAGCAGCCGGAGUUGCAGCCUAAGCAUUUGAGAGUAUGCAUGCUGUGCAUGGAAACAAAGGCCGGCGAGAUGGAGCUUACCCCUCGUUGGUGAUGUGUCUUCACUGAUGGCAGAUAACCACGCUGCCCAACGGCCUGCGCGUGGCCACCGAGGCUAUCCCGUUUGCGGAGACCACCACGCUCGGCAUCUGGAUCAACAGCGGCAGCCGCUUUGAGACUGAUGCCAACAAUGGCGUCGCUCACUUCUUGGAGCACAUUCUCUUCAAGGGCACCAAGGCAGGUUGGGGCAGGGCUCUGAAUUUGCAGUUUUCAGCGCAGCAUGCCAACAUGCUACGUCAUUACGCCUGCAGAACCGCUCGGUGAAGGAGCUGGAGGUCGAGGUGGAGAACAUGGGCGGCCAGCUGAAUGCCUACACGGGCCGUGAGCAGACCUGCUACUAUGCUAAGGUCAUGGGCAAGGACGUGGGCAAGGCGGUCAACAUCCUGUCCGAUAUCCUGCUGAACUCCAACCUGGAUGCCCGCGCCAUCGACAAGGAGCGCGACGUGAUUCUGCGCGAGAUGGAGGAGGUGCGUGUUACACAGGGUCUUGAAGAGAGGCGUAUCACGGGGUGGGAAGCGGCCGUGCGGGCAGGUACGGGGGACGGGAGCGGAGAGAGCGGGGCGGGGUGGGGUGGGGCAACAGCCCUGUUGCCGCAGCCCGCCCCUCAUGGCCUGCCCCAGCGCCCAGACCCGCCCAUGCAGCCAGCGCGUCUGCACGCGCAUGGGGCAGGCGAGUGCCACCUGACGCCGCCCUCCCUGCAAACCUCUUGCAGGUCAACAAGCAGACCUCGGAGCUGGUGUUCGACCACCUGCACGCCACCGCGUUCCAGUACAGCCCGCUGGGCCGCACCAUCCUGGGCCCCGUGGAGAACAUCAAGUCCAUCAACCGCGACCAGCUGGUUGAGUACAUGAAGACCCACUACCGCGGCCCCCGCAUGGUGCGUGGAUGGAGGCCUGCAUGUGGCUGACGCAUGCGGCAGCAGCAGGAUGAGCCUUGCAGCAGCGCAGCGGAGCGGAGCCGGACGCACGGAGGCGUGAGGCAGCAGCGCAGCGGCAUGGGCGAACGCAGCAGCAGGAGGCAGCUGGAGGGAGGGGCACCAGCGAGGGGGCCAGUCGAAAGAGGGCGGGAUGGUGACGGCUGCAGGCCGACACCACGGUGCAGGCGCAGGCAGGGGAGGGAGGCUUCAUGCAACGAUGGUGAAAUGCAGCAAGACCAGGCCGGUCCAUCUGGCAGCGGCAGCAAGCACCGUCUGAAUCAGCCGACGGGAGCAUGAAAGCCGGGGAGGGGAGGGGCGCGCCAGGACGGAUCUGUACCGUCAUGCGCAGGAAGGGACAUAACGGGACAUGUAUGUUUGCCGCGGUGCAGGUGCUGGCCGCUGCCGGUGCCGUCAACCACGACGAGCUGGUGAAGCUGGCGUCGGAUGCGUUCGGCUCGGUGCCGGAUGAGGACGCCGCCACCUCGGUCCGCUCGCUGCUGGUCAAGGUGAGUCGGACCAGCGUGGAGGAAUGGGGCCAGAAGGAGCACGAUAAUUGGGCAAGAGCACAGGGUACCGCAAUCAGGAAAGCUCUUGUGAGGUUGGGUGAGGCACCACAAAACGUCUUGGGGCGCUUGGAGGCCACGUCAGUGGGGCGUAGGCUGUCUACUAAGCAAGUCUUCAUGCAUUGUGUCCUGGCCAUGCGCGCCGCCCCGCAGGAGCCCUCGCGCUUCACCGGCUCGUACGUGCACGACCGCUUCCCUGACGCCUCGGAGUGCUGCAUGGCCGUGGCGUUCAAGGGUGCCUCAUGGACCGACCCCGACUCCAUCCCCCUGAUGGUCAUGCAGACCAUGCUGGGUGGGUGCAGCGGCGCGAGGCGGGAAGGGGCCACGGCUGCAGCGGGGGGGGGGCAUACAAGGGCAUAGAGAGGGCAGAGACCUCGCCGAACCAAGAGCGUGGAAACAACCGGACAUUGUUAAAUAGGAUGUCUCAGCUCUUCUUGACAAAUGACGCUCCUGUAUGUGGGUUAACGCAGGCGGCUGGGACAAGAACUCGACCGUGGGCAAGCACAGCAGCAGCGCGCUGGUGCAGACCGUGGCCACGGAGGGCCUGGCGGACGCCUUCAUGGCCUUCAACACCAAUUACCACGACACCGGCCUGUUCGGCGUGUACGGCGUCACCGACCGCGACCGCUCCGAGGACUUCGCCUACGCCAUCAUGUCCAACCUGACGCGCAUGUGCUUCGAGGUCCGCGACGCCGACGUGGCGCGCGCCAAGAACCAGCUCAAAGCCAGCCUGAUGUUCUUCCAGGACUCCACGCACCGUGAGUAGCGAACCGGGGCUACAGCGAGCCAGGGCUGGGUGUGUAACAUGGCCUGUUUUUGUUGCCUGGCUCUCUCCACUGCUCGGAGCCCUACGCUCUGUCGUGGCAAUUCGGACCUCACGGUUGCUGUCGGCAUUGCCUUGUUUCCUCGCGCAGACGUGGCCGAGUCCAUCGGCCGCGAGCUGCUGGUGUACGGUCGCCGCAUCCCCAAGGCGGAGAUGUUCGCACGCAUCGACGCCGUGGACGCCAACGCCAUCCGCGCCGUGGCCGACCGCUUCAUCUACGACCAGGACAUGGCCGUGGCCUCCGCCGGCGACGUGCAGUUCGUGCCCGACUACAACUGGUUCCGCCGCCGGUCCUACUGGCUGCGCUACUAAGCAAAUCGCACCAGCAGGUGGUGUCGCUGAGCUGCCGAGACUGCUAUCCAGACUCUGGCCAGUGCCUGAGGUUGGCGGCAGCGGCGUGAGGCGGAGCGUGGGGCCGCCACUGGAGCAGUGGCAGCGGUGCCGGCCGCCUGGCGCGUGGAGCUGCAGUGCGUAGUAGAGUGUGGAACCCGGAGUGCGAGCUGCAGCAGCGGGAGCUGGCUAGAGGUCGCUCGUCGGGAGGUACGGGGGUGCAGAGCUUAUCCUGGACAUGCUGAGGAGGAGCGUGUGGCGGCUGAAGGCGAGGGCGCUGUCAUGCGCGCGGGGAGAGUGGAGGACAGUUGAGCAAUGGCCUCUGUAUGCCAGUUGCUGGUCUGCUCCGACCUGAGUAUAGAUUGAGAGGGCAGAGCGAAGCCUGGAAUGGCGUUAGGGCCAUGCAGCAGAGGGGAUGCGGAAGGCGCCUAGGGCAGCAGGUCGAUGGCGGAGCAUCCCGGAGCUCGAGCCCUGUAGGUGGAAGGGCAGAUUUACGGUAGGUGAUAAACUCGCGUAGGCAGUGAGCUUAACAACUUCAUGACUGACGGUAUCAUAGGUAGGGAGGUGCAAGAUGCAAGCGGCGAAGAUGCCGUUGUUGAUGGGUGUGGUACGGCGUGUAAGUGCGCCGCGUGGAUGCCUGGACCCCCCCCCCUCCGUUGAAGAGUCAUAAAACUUCAGUCUAAAAGUUUAUCUGCUAAACUCAAAUAAUCCUUGCAUUGCAGUGAUAGAAACCACGUGUAGUAGUCUGGCCAAGACAGCAACCAAGGCGACGGCGGGAAACCAUCGGGCAUGCGACGAUAGUUUGAGCGAGUUUGGGCAAUGCCAGGACGCGGCCAGCGCCAUGAGCUAGGUGGAGUACCUGUUAUUGUGGUGGAGAACGUUCAGGUGCGUUUGGAAGCCUGGGUCAACCUAUUCACGGAAUUGCGGCAGGCGACGGGAGCAAAGCCGACUCCUUUUGCGAGCUUGCUGAGCCUGAGACGUAUCUGUUGCAGGAUUAUCGAGACUGUGUGCCAUACUAUGUGAAUAAGGACGAUGUGUGCCUGGAGCUUGGGUGCGCUCAAGGGUGCACGACGGCGGUGCUAGCCGAGCACGCUAAGGAGGUGGGCACCGACUUGAGCUGCACGGCGCGGGACGACAGGGCCGGGACCAUCAGUCCAAAACUGAUGUUGUGCCAUGGAGAAGCGGGAAAAGGGCGGGGGCUGCCAGGGGGGAAAGCAGGGCGGGCGGCGGGCACUGGCGGGCAUCCGGGGCAGCGGGGGCAGCCACCUCCACUCCCCUCAUGCCCCCAGGUCGUGGGCGUGGACAAGUCCGCCUUCAACUUCAAGGUGGCUGAGGGCCGCUACAAGCACAUAGAGUUCCAUGAGAUUGCGGCCGAGGACAUCUCAGGUGGGCGCCAAGGGGACGGCGGCGGGCCUGAUGUGAAUGGGCCUUGUGUCCGAAGGGAGGCGUUUGUGGACGCGGGGGCACUCACCUCCCGACUACAGUCCCAAAGCAACUGGGGGUCUUGCACUCUUGCGCGUGGCCCCUGUGCAAAUAUUUGGCACUGGGCGCGUGGCACACACGUGCGUUGUUGGUUUUUGGUCCUUCCUUUCCCUCUGCAGCGCUGCUGCGGCUGGGCAAGCGCUUCACAAAGGUCUUCCUGGACAUCAGCGGCUCCCAGCCCGUGGGUGAGAGUGGUGGGCAGGCAAAGGUGGCAUACCGGUAUGGGUGAUGGGGUCACAUCGGGAGGAGGGCGGUUGACGAAUGUUUGGCAACCCAUUGUGCCUGCGCGCGGAUAUCACCAGGCACGGGCACGUCCAGGGGAAGGUAAGAGAAGGGAUGUGGUACAGCCCCGCGCAACCGUGCAUCAAUCGUGGGAACGGCGCACCAAUGGCAUCGGCUUUUGCCACCACGUCAAGACAUCUCCUACCUCGCCCUUUACCACCCGCCACAGGCCCACUGGCUGCGCUGAUAGAGAAGUACGAGCGCGCCUUCCCCGACGUGACGCUGUUCGUGGUGAAGGCGUACCGGCUCAAGAAGCUGGUGGGGCUGAGCACGGUAUUCCCGGAGGAGGUGCUGGGCACCACACGCAACCCCAGCACCGCAUUCAUGAUCAAGGCGGCGGCGGGGGCAGGCGGCGAAGGCGGGGGCGGCGUGAGCGGGGGCGUGAAUGGUGUGAACGGUGUGCACGGGGGCUUGGGAGCAGGGAGGAACGGGAGGAGCAGCGCUGGUGGGAGACGACGCAGCGGGCUGGGCGGUUUGCUGCGGCGGCAUGGGGGUGGCAUGGCGGUGGCGCUGGCGGCGUUUGGGGCGGGGCUGGUGGUGGGGCGGGCCAGCUCGCGGCGGUAGGUUACAGAAGCCGGAGCGGGCUCCGUGUGUCUGUCGACGUAACGUCAUGACUCCGUACCGCACAACUUAGGGCUAGCUAUGCAGCUAUGUGCGGUGGGAUGUGUCUUAUUCCAAUGACCCGCAGCAUGACAACAACAUUCUCUCAUUCGUUAAAGAUUCCACCAGGCACAUGCGCCCUGAUGGCGCCGCGCAACUCGCGUUACCCGCUGUAACUGUCCGUGCCGCCGCUUCACCCUCUCUCCUUUCGAGUCCUUUCCAUCAAUCCAUGCCAAGCCAGCUUCAUUGCAUCCUAUAGAGUCGUGCCACCAGUCCCGUAGCUGCAGCAGUCCGAUCAAUCCAUGCGCCGAGUCCAAUCAUACGCCUCGGCUGCUAGCACCUAAUCCUCUCGCGUGGCCCAGCCGCCUGAAGAAUGAACCCUACCACCGCGUCGCGUCGCAUUGCGGCCAGGCCCGCCUCCCCUGCGCAAAAACAUCCAUGAACGCUGCAAGUCCUGUGAACACAAAAAGCGCUGAGCAGCGCAGCGCUGGCGCCCAGCAGCUCCCUUCCUCUGCAGCCCCUCCGCUCCGCCCCUCCGCCUCAGCCCUGGCUCCAGCAGUAGCUGCCGCCCCGCGGCACAUGCACAUGCACAAUCCCACACACAACGCAGGGGCAUUGUCCUAACACUGCCACCAAACCAAAAGCCGCUCUACAGCUCGAUCUCCUGCUGCAGCUUGAGGUAGGGGUUCUCGUUGUUGGGUCGGAAUUUGACGGCCGUCCACACGUAGAAGGCCAGCGUGACCAGCUCCUCCACCAUGGCCGCCACCCAGCUGUACUCGUACUGCAUGGUGCUGCGCAGCAGGUACACCACGAUGCGCGUGACGUAGAUGUACACCACCACCAUGACGUAGAACUGGCGGAACAGCGUCAGCUUCUCCAGGUUGCGCGCGGCCUUGCCGUCGGUCUGGCUGGCCUCGCGCAGGUGCUUGAUGGACCAGACGAUGGGGAACAGGAUGGCGCAGCAGCAGAUGAUGUCCACCAGGUGGAACACGUCGCGCCAGGUGAACCAGUCCUUGACGCUGGGGCUCUCCUCGUCCGUGAUCACGAUGGCGAUGUUGGCAAACACCUGUGGGGGCAGUACGGAGGCAGGGAGGCAGGCAGGCAGGCAGGGAGGUGACGGGACGGGAGGAGGCGGGGGAGGGACACAUGUCAAAUACGGUACUCCAGUCUCCCCGUUUUUCCACCGCCAGUAUCACCACCACCACCACCACCCUCCCUUCCCUCCCCCGCUGACCUGCAGCGGGAUGACGAUCAUGAUGAUGCGCGCCUCCUUCUCGCCCAGGAACGGCUUCAUGUAGCUCCAGCCCGUGCCGAUCAGCACAAUCACCGUGAAGAACAGCACGCCGCGGAAGAAGGUGAACACGUAGUAGGCGAUGUUCCAUCCGUCGGCGGAGCCGGUGCGCUCGAUGUAGAAGACCAUGAGGGCCUGGGAAAGCAGCGUGAGCGCCUUGAACACGCCCAGCCCGAACAUGAGGUAGUGGAUCUUGUGAACCAGGCUCUUGUUGCGGUAGCAGUAGACGACCCAGGCGACCGUGCACAGCGUGAACAGCGCAAACAUGGCCUGGGUGGAGAGGGACGGGGGGGAGGGGAACCAGGGAGGGGAGGGAGGGGCGAGAGGGGGGGACGGCGGUUGGAGAAGGUAGUAGUGGCAGUGCGGUUGUGAACGGCGCGGCAUGGGGGGCGAUGGGCGGGCAUCGUUUACACGACCGGCGCGGCCUAUGGGGCAAGAGCGAGAGGGGUGGUGCUUCCUGAUGGGAUGAGCCCAUGGCCGGUGGACGAGGUAUGUCCAGAGGGCUGCUGGGGUCGACACACCCUUCGCCAACGCAGCGCUGCAUAGAGCACUGGCCACUGCGUAACCGACCGGGUGGCGCCUUCCCAUGUCGCGCAUGUGCACAACAAGUGCUGUUUGGGCCCUGGACCCCCCCCCCCCCUGGCUCCUGCUCCAGCGCGCCGGCCACAGGUGUGGACCGCGAAGUAGGCCAAGCGCUUGCAUGCAGCUGCCUUCCAAACCGUCGCCACAAGACUCCGCGGUCGCACCAGAUAACGGUCAAACCGGCCACUGGUACGCAUAGCACCCCACGGACAGCGCUGACAACAGCGGUAGCUACCUCGUCAGCCUGCGUACAGCCCGCGGUUUGGAAACCCAAGGUGCCCUGACACGCACCCGCGCCAUCCCCCCACACUCACCCAGUAGACCGCGUCCAGGCUGGUGUCACCCACGGACAGGUAGUCUUUGCGUCCGUAGGUGUCCACGUUGUACAUCUCAAUCACGGAGCUAAAGGAGAUGGGGGUGUCCACCUCGCAGUUGGCGAAAUACAGGUAAAAGAGUCCGCCAUUCUGCACGACGAAGUGGAAGGUAAAGCUCUCCAGCUUGCCCAGGAUGACAUUCUGGACUGACGAGUCCUUGAACGUGAACAGGUUGUUCACGUCGUUCAGAAUGCAUUUGCUCGAGUCGGUGAGGUCCUGCUCGAGCGCUGCGUCCGCCUCCACUGGUGAUAGGAAGAAGCCAAAGUUCUCCCAGUUGCUAACGUCCUCCUGGCUCCCGUGCAGGCGAUAGAGCCCAAUAUCCCGAAUGGUGAUGUCCAACUUGCCGCCCUCCGCGAAGCCGAAGGCUUCCGUCAGGGGAAUCAGCGGUCGGUCAUCCUUAUCGACUACACUGUGGUGGAUUUUGGCGUGCGCCCCUAGCGCAAGCACCAGAAGGAGCAACAGGCCCAGCGACCGCGCCAUUUGCGAUCCUUGAGGCAACAGGUAUUCGAAAACUGUGGCCAGGUGAGAGUUUUGAGUGUGAGUUGAGCUAUCCAAUUGAUAAAGUUUCGCUUCAACCGCAGUGCCCUGACAGCGGCUGAAUGGGUACACGAACCCCAGCUAGCUUCCUGUGGCCCUCAAGACCGCAGUGAUUCUCCCCGAGCCCUGGCAUGCAGGAUACAACCACCUGAGGCACCCAGGGCGCUUUCAACAGUCACAGCAGCGCCAUGCUGGGAGCCGGCGGGCCAUGAAACGGACGCCACCGCAACGGCGAACACGAGCCCAUCUUGCUGAAUGCCCGUACUGCAACUGACGCUGCGGCUGUGGGCUGUGCCCGUUGUCCACACACCACACAACACACCCCGCGCCGCUGUGCGGGCGGCUGGACGGCCCCAAGGCGCCAGGUCCAAGCUCCCCUGCGCCCCAGGCCGAUGCAUGCAAGCGCCUGGGAUCGACGCACGGCUUGCGCGGUGCGUCUCCACUACUGCCGGGUGCGAUGGGACUGAUGGGACGCCGCCUCGCCGAGCACUUGUCAGCGCUACAAAGCUUUGUAUGCCUGUGGCUGUCUAGAAUGUCUGGUACUUAUUUGGAUGCUCAUGCGCGUGUGGUGCCAGUGCCAGCACUCAGCGGGCCACGCGUGUGUCGGCCCCUCAGGUCACGCGCUCCACGUGUCCAUCACCGCAUGCCGCAUACGGGCCAGCGGGCCCCAUCCCCCUCAGGGCUCAGGCCACACGCCCCCGCGCGCACGUACAUCGCAUCACGUCGCUGGCGGAAGCGGAUGCGCGGAGGCAGAGGCCCGGGCGGCAUGUGCCGUUGCAUUUGUCAUGGCGACGCCGCCUGCUCCUCACCGCGAGCGACGUCAGGCGGCGCCCCAAGCCGGGAGUAACGCGUGUGUUUGGCGCCCCAAGCCGGCGUGGUGAGUCUGACGAGGGGACAGCGGGGGGCGGGGUAUCGGUGGGGUCGCGCGGCGUGCGUGCGACCCACGGGUGGUGUCGGGGCAACGGGCCCAGGGUGUCGGGGCGGGGGUCAGCCGCAGCUGCCCGCAACCCGCAACAGAAGCUGGCCAAAUGUGCUGUCCGGCGGAACACAGCCCGCUGCAUUGGCCUGCCUCCACACAAUGCACCGGGGUAGCGGCGCCGUCCGACUGCCGCGCGCGGGCCGAGGGGGGUGAGGCGACGGGCCCUCGGGCAGGGAUUUGCUGCCGGAUCCCCGCGGCGCUGCCUGAACCCCUGCUUCCCGCGCAAUUCCCGCGCGGCCCCCCCGAGCACUGCAGCCUUCAGCUGAUACAGACACACACUCACAUAUCAUACAUGACCUCCUGCGCACACGCCUACUCCAAAUUUCAAGCAAGCAAACCCUGACCGACCCGGCGAGCGUUUUCCGGUUGUGACGCCGCGACUGCCUCCGGUCCGCUGCCGCACAGCACGUUCCAGUGCCCGCUGUUGGAAACCAACGUGAAGGAGGGCAGCAGCGCGCUAGAUAGUGCAGCAGGGGGCGGGGACAGGAGCAGCAGCUGCAAGCCGGCGCUUGCAGGCGCCGCUGCAGCCACCGCCGGCCUAGCCCUCGGUGGUCGGCCCCCGGAGGGAGCGCACCUGCACCUGCACCUGCACCUUCACCCACACCCGCACGCCGCGUGGGGGUGCCAUGGACGUGUCAACUGCUGCCAACAGCUGGGUGGACAGCUACUUGGAGGCGCUGGUGGGGCACUGGGGGGGUGGGCGGGGGCAGGGAGUAGAGGGUGGAGAGGCGCAGGAGGGGCGACAAGGAGGAGGCGAAAGCGGGGGCAGGGGCGCGGCUGCUGCGCGGUAGAAAGGGUUCGUAGGCCGCCAGAAAGGGUUGACUCCCUGUCCGGCGGCGAGGGCAGUCGGUCGGUCGGUCGGUCGGCUUGCGCGCUCAGCCCGCGACAUACAGCCGCCGCGGCUUUCGCCAGAGCAGUGCAUUGCGGGGCUGUGAAGCCCUUUCGCGCAGUUUCGUGCGGGGGAAAGUCGCCAGUCUUCCGCGGCUGUCAGGCAUUGUUUGCCCGCACGGCCCGCUGGAGAGCUCGCCCGAACGUGCUGCCGCUACCGUGUUUUCCCCCUCCGCCUCGCGGAGGCCCGCCCCCCGCCCGCCACCCCCCCCCCCGUACCGGCGUACCGCUCCCUGCCCAUACACCACAUGAUCACCUCAACACACGCCGCCUCACACACACACACACACACACACACACACACACACACACACACACACACACACACACACACACACACACACACACACACACACACACACACACACACACACACCGCAUCCCACGCCCCCCCCCCCCGCCUCCUCAGAUCUCCUCGGGUAGCCGCAGCGCUCUGGCCGCACGCACCGGCGCCGGCGCCGACGACUACUGCGUGCCCGAGGCGGUGGACGCGGACCGCCGCGUUUGCGCCAAGUACUACGUCAACCAGAUCCUCAGCCUGGACGAGGACGCCCUGCGGCGCAGCUGGAACAAGGUGCGUGAGGGGCGGCGGGGGGGCGUGUGGAGGUUGUGUGGAGGUUGCGGGCAGUGAAGGCGUGGAGGCGUGGCGGUGGGCGGCACGUUCCAUCGACCCAGAUGGAGCUCUCCUGCCAUUGGGCUUUCCAUCUAUUGCAUACCACGCCCCCUACACACCUCGCCGGCCCGGCCCCGCCCGGCCCCCCACGCUCUGCCCCCACACUGCCCCCACACGCUCCCCCCACACGCACCCCACACGCCCCUUCCUCCCUAUUCUUCUCCCCCCCCCCCCAUCAGGUGGCCCGCACCAACCGGGACAGCCAGGCUGAGAAGGACGCGCGUGUGGAGUACCUGUCAUGGCGCGUGUGGGCCAUGAAGCGCAAGAGGGCGGCGCUGGCGGCCCGAGCCGCCGCCGCCGCCCGCCGCGCCGCCGCCGCCGCCGCCAGCGGCAGUGGCGGCGGCGCUGACGAGGCGGAUGACGUAAUGAGUGAGGGCCGUACGGCGCUGCUGUACCUGGACGACCUGGACACCACCGUGACACUGGAGGUGCGAGAGGGCGGGGGGUGGUGGGAAAUGCGUGUGCGUGUGUAUGUGCGGGUGUUACUGUGUGGCGCAUCAACCCCGCACAACUCCACGAGCAGUCCCUGCUGGCUAGCCCUCGUACCGGCCUUCCUGCUGCAAUUACACGCUAGCUGCAUGAUGGCUGGGCAUGUUUCCUCAUUCGCCACCCCGCAGCCUCUGGAGGAGGAGGCUGACGCCGUGGAGGAGGAGGCGGGUGGCAGCCGCGAGGGCGAGGACCAGGAGGAGGACGACGACAAUGACAACGACCAGGAGGAGGAGGAGGCCGAGGCGGCUGGAGGCGGCGGCGGCGGCGGCGGGCGGCGCAGUCGGCUGGCGCAGGUGGCGGCGCGGCUGGCUGAGCCGCUGUCGGCAGACCAGGCCACUGUGCCCGACACCGAGCAGCCCGACGAGCAGGUGGGUGUUAAAGAGAUAGCACGAGGGAAACCAACAAACUAAGACUGCGUACCGGGAUGCGAUGCAGCAAGGCCACGGAACGGCAUAUGAGGGUAGUUGAGGCGCAGCGCUGAGGCGGCGGGGUUCGAGUGCAUGCAUGCGCAGUGUCGUGUGGGGCUUGUGAAGGCCGCGAUGGCACGCGCAGGCAGGAGAGAUGGCGAGCUGUCAACCACACGCACGCGCCCCGCCUCACACAUGACUUUCCUGACUCUCCCUUCACUACUCUUUCCCCUCCUCUCACAGUCUUGGGACGCCGUCUACCCAGCCACAGCCGCCGCCAAACAGGCCGCCGCCGCCGCCGCCCGAGGCGCCCGCCACGCGGCUGCCGCCGGCCACGCCGCCGCUGCUACUGCCGCUGACCGCAGCGGCGCAGCUACUGCCGGCGGCGGCGGCGGCUCGGGGCGACUGAGCUCAAUGGAGGAGGCUGGCGACGCGGCGUCGACCUCCACAAGGACCAUGGCGGGUGCGUGGCGCUGCGUUCCGUGUGCCGUGUGUUUGAUGCUAACAUGCGCACAUAUGCAUAUAUGCGCACAUAUGUGUGUUUGAUGCUAACAUGCGCACAUAUGCAUAUAUGCACAAGUAUGCCAUACGGUAUCCAUACACGCAUACGCAAGGCUCUUAGCCACGCAUAUCUGCACUCAGCAGCUGCAGCCGCUCGGCCCUCUCCGCCCACACCAUCUAUAUAUCAGAACCACCGCCACCACUGAUACAAGCACGCUCACAACCACCGGCACCACCACCACCACCACCACCACACACACUACUGCCUUCAACACUGCACCCACACCAUCCCGCCCGCCUCCCCCCACUGCACCUCCUCCUCCUCCGCAGCGGCACGCGGCGCCAGUGGCCUCGCCGCCGCCGGCGCCAGCCUGGGCGGCCACAGCGGUAGCCAGCUGUCCCUGCGCUCCGCCCCGCCGGCCCUGUGCCUGCCGCCGCCGCCGCCGGGCACCCCGCCGACGUCGGUGUUCGCCGCCGCCGCCGGCUCCCCCGCCCUGCCGCCCCACCACCACCACUACCACCCAUCCCUCCAGACCACCCCCACCAGCCCGGCGCCCCUCUCCCCAACCCUUCACCACCUCCACUCCUCCCCCGGCCCCGCCGCCCCCGGCCCCGCCGCCCCCGGCCCCGCUGCUACAGCCUCUGCCGCCGCUGCCGCCGCCGCUGCUACAGCCGGCACCACCAGCAGCAGCAGCAGCAGCAGCAGUGCUGCCCCCACGGAGGCUGACCUGGGUCUGCUGGUGGGCCGCCCCGGCAGCCCGCGGCGCUAUGUGGUGCUGGUGUCGCUGCAUGGGCUCGUGCGGGGGCGCCGCAUGGAGCUGGGCCGAGACCCCGACACCGGAGGACAGGUGCUGGGGGGAGGGGGGGAGAGCGUGUGUGCGGGUGGGUGGGUGCGCGUGGGUGCAUGGGUGGGUGGGGUAGAAGUCGAAACGAUGUACACCUUGGAGCUGGGUGGAUCAGUGUGGCAGUACUGCUGCAAGGGCUGGAGGGCCGCCGCCGCAUGCAGCCAACUGGCCAGGUGCAGGCAACCCACUGGCGCCCCUCAACCCCCUCAACCCCGGCACACACACUCACAACACACACGCCCCCCCCCAGGUCAAGUAUGUGGUGGAGCUGGCUCGGGCGCUGGGCCGCAUCCCCUCCGUGGCGCGUGUGGACCUGCUGACGCGCCUCAUCGCGGACCCACGGGUGAGGGGGAGGAGGGGGAGGGGGAGGGCGGGGGGCCGGGCAGGUGGGUGCUGGUGCUGCUGGGGGACACACGCACCGGCCCGCUGUUUGCUUGCGCAAUCCGAUGCACCCCUUCCCCUUGCGCUUUGUAGGGAACACACACACGCACGCAAAAACGCGCACACACACUUAUACGUACACACGCGUGCAGGUGGACAAGAGCUACUCAGUUCCUGAGGAGCGGCUUGACACGGGCAGUAGCAAUACCGGCAGUAGCAACACCGGCAGUAGCGGCGGCGCCGCUGCAGACGCGGCGGCCGCGCCACAGCCGCAGCAGCCGUCACCCGGCGAUGCCGCCGCACCCGCGGCCAAUAAACUCGGCGCCGGCAGUAGCCCGGCUGGUGCUGCUGCUACUGCUGCUGCUGCUACUGCUGCUGCUGCUGCCGACGACCCGUGCGGCGCCUUCAUUGUCCGGCUGCCUGCCGGCCCGCCCAACGUCUACCUCAAGUGAGCAGGGCGCGUCCACACCAGCGCAUCACAGCCCGGGACCAGACCACACACGGCCAUUUACGGUGCCGAGGCAAUCUCGCCUGUUGUUUUUCCUAGCACGCAACUCCUAGCCUACACACACACCUCCGCUUCCCACCCACAAACACACGCUCACACGCUGCCCCCCCACCCACCCCCCCCCACACACAUACAAACCCCUCAGGAAGGAGGACCUUUGGCCGCACGUGCGCGAGUUCGCGGACCGGGCCCAGGCGCACGUGGCGGCGGCGCUGGCGCGGCUGGGCGCUGCGGGCCAGGCGGCGGAGCUGUGGGCGGUGCACGGCCACUACGCGGACGCGGGCGAGGCGGCGGCGCUGCUGGCGGCGGCGCUGGGCUGCCCCAUGCUGCUGACCGGCCACUCGCUGGGGCGCAACAAAAAGGUGCGGUGUGGCGAGUAGCUGUGUGUGUAUGUGUGUGUGGGGUGGGUUUGGUGGGGGGUGUGUGGUGGGGGUGUGUGUGGCGUUUGGGGCCGGUGCGGCUGGUGUGGCAAUUUGGCGGUUGAAGCGGGUGCAUGUUCAGGGGUGUUGACUCGUCCACUUGUUGCGACCUGGAUUCACCCUCACUUCCGGUACCUUCCACACACCCCUUCCCACCCUCCCCGCCCCUCCCACCCUUCCCCUCGCGCUCCUGCGCUGCCCUGCCCUGCCCAGGCGCACCUGCUGGCUAGCG
This 61546-nucleotide long non-coding RNA is filed under the name Chlamydomonas reinhardtii. Its description in RNAcentral is "long non-coding RNA (CREI_LNC001006)". Lineage: Eukaryota; Viridiplantae; Chlorophyta; Chlorophyceae; Chlamydomonadales; Chlamydomonadaceae. The record is from RNAcentral.